This 74787-nucleotide long non-coding RNA is filed under the name Gossypium barbadense (sea-island cotton). RNAcentral's name for it is "long non-coding RNA (GBAR_LNC005669)". The record is from RNAcentral. Lineage: Eukaryota; Viridiplantae; Streptophyta; Magnoliopsida; Malvales; Malvaceae.
CCGGACCUUAGGCCCCUGAAAUUGAGAAUCAGUUCAAAAACACUUAAAAUCAUGCCUAAACAUGUCCAUAUCAUUUUCAUAUGUUCCAAAACAUAAAAAUCUAAUUUAAAACACAUUUUAACUCAUAAUUCGAAGCAUAAACAUCCAAGUCAAAUAAUGGAAUAAAACUUGGAUAAUUACAUUAAAACAACUUAAAUUUUCAAAUCAAAAUUUACAAAUACCACAAUCAAAUUAGGUCCUUAUGUACAUGCAAAAUCCUUAUACAAUAACACUAAUAUAAAUAUGUUACAACCUCAAGUGAGUUGUGACAUGAAGCUCCCAAGCUCGGACCUUAUGCUUUUCACUCGUAUUUUACCUACGUGUUUUAAACCAUUAACGCGUGAGCUUUAAAAAGCUUAGUAAGUACUCAAAGAUAAGUCGACUUAUCCUAUCCUAAUAUAAAUGUUGAGUCUCUUAUCAAGAACUAUUCAAGAUUCAUUUCCAUUAUAUUAUGCCAUUUUUCAACUAAUUCAAAUUUGAUUAUCGAAUUAUGGAACUCAACAUACUGGUCAAUGGUUCUUUAACAAUUCACAAUAGAAAUUCAUGUUGAAGAUCAUCAUCAAGGUUAUUGAUAUUUUCCAUUCUAAGUCCAUAGCCCUUUUCACUUAACUUUCUAACUUAUUCACGGGUGAGUACCACAUAUGGCUAUGAGAAGUGGGAAAACUCACAUGGGAAUAAUUUAGAAAGUUAAGUUUAUAAAAAGAAAAAUUUAUAAGUCCAAAAACCAAAUAAAUUUAGGAAAAACGUAAGCAGAAUAAUUUAUAAGUCCGAAGUCCAUCAUAUGUCCGCAUGCCAUGUUCGAUCCUAGUCUCAAGCAUUACUUGAGAUGGUUGAAACUAUGGGGUGAGCUAACUAGCAUAAACAUAAUAUUAUUCAUAUAUCAUUCAUCAUUAAUAACAUUGUAACACAAACAUAGCAUAAACAUUACCAUUCAAAAGUGUCAUGGACAAAACAUAAUACAUAAUGAUUUCCUACCCCAACCAUCCGCUACACACCACAAGUUCCCCAGAACUCAUCUGCCAAACUCCAUACAUUGCGAGUUGAGCUCAAUGUGGUUAAACCACCAUUAUAUGUAAUGAAGAUAUACUGCCAUUCAAAAUAAAUAUGAUAUAAUCGUUGUUCUCCUCAUUACUCCCAGUGCAGUGCACUGACAACAUAUAUGCGGACUUAAUAUGCCUCCAUUACUUCACGGAACUCCUCCUUCAUCCACAUAAUCCCAUCCUAUGCACAUGUAAUAUGUCAUACAAAUUUCAAUUAAAAUCAUGUUUCCAUUACAUUCCCAUUUCAAUAGCAUGUUUUGCAUGCUCAUAACAACAUUCACUUUCAUUCGAUAAUAACAUUUAUCAAUCAUUUAGUUUCACCAUCAAUACAGUGACAUUCCAACAUGUCAUAGUUUCAUUAUCAUUCAUAAGAAAUUUUCCAGUGCAUGUGUAGCAGUCUUUCAUAUAUUUCACAACAUUUUACCCAAACAUACAUUUCAUUUUUAUUCUAAUACGUGCUACUCAUACAACCAGCGUACAUUAUAUCACAAAAUAAUUCAUAUUAAUUCAUAUCAAUACCAGACAUUCAAACAUUCAAUCAGUCAUGCAACAUUGCAAACAUGCCAUUUAUCUAAGGUUCGAAACGUACCUGAUUCAGCCACAUUAAAAUCACUUACUUAGCCAUUUAACUAAGUUUGACCAACAAGCUUAAUCAUCAUUUUAAGUAUUAAAAAGAUUAUUUAACAUUUAAAUUUUAUAGGUUGGAACCCACACCUUAUUUUUGUACAACUGUAGCACUACUUACCAAACUUGCGAUUCCUCCUUUAGACUUAAAUUGAACCUAAAUUAAAAUACAAUAUUUAUCGAGUUAAAAUGUUUCCAAAUCAGCCCUAAAGCACCCUCUUAAAGGUUCAAUCAAAUUAGCAUUACCGUAAUAAUUUUUUGUCUAAAUCGACUAGGCUACUUACACUGAUUUGAUGCGAAACAUACGUACGAAUGAGUUUUGUAGUCAUUGAUGAUCCGAGAAGUUUAAAUCAGCAUAUAAACAUAAUUAAUCCCCAAAAAUCAGUAACCAAAACCCCUGUUCAGAUUUUAAAGCAAUCGACCAAAGAAGAAAUUAGUAAUAAAGAAAAACAGUGCAAGAUCUCGCACAAGUUUGCACUUUGCACCACCCAUUACCCUGAUCUGAGUUGUCGGAUGAACAUCUUUCUGAAUUAUCAAUUAGGAACGUUUAAAUCAGAACCAAAUAGAGGGAAAAAUCUAAAAAAUUAAAAUAGUAGGGGCGAAAAUUGAAGAGAAACGACAAUCCCAAAACAAUGGUACUCUAAGGGCGUGGCAACACCAUUUGAGGUGACAAAAAAGGCAAAUCUGGGGUGCUACAAGGAGGGAUCUUUGGACAACCAAAAAGAAAAAUUUUAAGGGCUAGAAUGAUUGACUUAUUGGAUAUAAAAAUAGUAGCCAAAAAUCGGAUCACAAAGUAUAAGAACAGAGAAAAAAAAAUAGGAUUUACUAGCAUUGAUAUGAACAAGGGAGAGGGAGUGGCAAUGGACAGUAAAAGAGGAUGUUAGGAGAGAAAAAAAAGAAAUUUUAGGGCAGAAAAUAAGGAUGGUUUAGGAGGUCUAAAUGUUCAAUAAGGUGACUGGACAAACCAAAAUAGAAAAACUCUAACAACAGGGCAACACAACUGUGAUGAAAUCCCAAAAAAAGGACGAAACUUUGAGAGAAAAAAAAUAAGAGACGAGAGGAGAACUGCUAGGGUAGGAGAAAAAAAUAGACUUAAGGCUGAAAAGUAAGUGAAAAAGUGAUAUUUAUACUUAGGUUAAAAGGCAUGAGUAGCAUAAAAACAGGGGGAAGGAGAAAAAUUAGCAAAAUUAAGCUAUUUUGCAAGGGAAGGUUGUUGAACUCGAGUUUUUAAGUGAAUUGCACUGGCUGUAGCGGUUUAAUUUCAGUAAAAUUGAAAUAGUAGUUUUGUAACCACAAAUGCUAAAAAGAAAAUUUUAUUUUAAUAUUAUGAUAUGAUAUAUAUUAUGAUAGGAAUGUUGCAGGAAAAUUUCGAUCAGAAAAUUCUAUUGAUUAUGUGGUUAAUUAGAAAAAAGACUAAAAAAAGUGCAUUCUCGGGACUCCGUUCCGGUAAGUCAGAUUUAUAAAUAUUUUUAAUAAAUAUUUACGAAUUUAGUUGUGCAGUUAAUUAGGUUUUAGUUAAGUGAAUUUUCUGUAAUUAAAAAUAAUUAGGUAAAAGGAUUAACUUGCAAUAGAGGUAAAAAGUUUAAUUAUAGAUUAAAGAAAAGCUAAAGGGACUGAAUAGAAAAUUAUGCCAUUAUUAUAGUUGAGGCGAUUUAAUAAGGAAAAAUAUGAGAUUUUUAGUUAAAAUAUAUAUUAAUAUAUUAACUUAAUAUUUAAGUAUUAAUAUUAUAAUAUAAUAUAUUAUUAUAUUAUAUAUCAAAAACAUAAAGUAAAAGAAACAAAUGAAAAAAAAAGGAAAGAAACAGAAUAGGUAGGACGAAACAAGGGAGAAAAAGGGAGAAAGAAAAAGAAAGGAAAAAAAAUUAGAGAUUUUUAAGGUUUAAACUCAAAUUGGUAAAUCAAUUUAACUCAUUUUCUUAUAAUUUUUGAGUUUUUAUGAUCUUAGAAUAAAAUACUGUUUAGUAUAUGUUGAAAAUUUGAAAGUUAAUAGAUUUUUGGACAUGGUUUAUGUUGAAUUAAUUGAUGAAUUAGGGGUUGAAUUAAUAGAAUUUCAAGUUAGAAUUGGGUAAAGGAUAAGAUUGCAUGGAUUUCUUUUUUUUCAAGCCUAGGGACGAAAUUAGAAUUAAUGAAAAGUUUAGUGGCAAAAUGGUAAUUUUUCCUAAAGUGUAGAUUGAACUCAAUAGAAUAUAAAUUGAAUGAAAUUGAUGAUUAAAUUUAUUUAUAUAGAUCCGGAUGACUUAAAUACGAGGUUAGAUCGAGGCAAGGAAAAAAGUCUCGGAUUAGUAGUCUUUACUAACAAACAAAUAUCGAGGUAAGUUCGUGUAACUUGAAUUGAAUUCUUUAAUGCUUGAAUUGCAUGUUUAUGUGACAUGAAUGUGAUUUGAAUGUUUAAUGUAUGGUAAAUGAUGAAAUGAUUGAACAUAUUUGAUAAAAAAGAAAAAUAAUUCCGGUGAAUAAAAGGAAUUCGAUGGAUCACAGAAAAAGGAUGUUACAUGGGAAAAUAAAAGGAUUUGGCCCGGAAGGGUAAUCUAAAUCGAGCUUAAUAGAGUAUUUGUCACUAAAAGGAUUUAGCCUGGACUGGUAAUCCUGAAAAAUACUGGUAAUCCUGAAAAAUACUCUUUGAGCAUAUGUUACAGGGAAUUUAGUCUGGAUCGGUAAUUCCGCUGUGUGGAAUGAGACUCGGGAGUGUGCUCCCUGAAAAGGAUAAAUAUGAAUUGACGGAAUUGAACUUGUACACCAUAAGUGUACUACUAGAAAUCCAUUGAAAUUCUGAUAAAUUCAACGGGAAAAAUAUAGAAAAUGGAAAAUACGUGAAAUCAUAAAAUUGAUGAGCUCAUCAUUCAUCUAUGUAUUGAAAUUAUUUGAUGUUAUUUGACUAAUCCAUUGGUUGAGUUUGUAUGUGUUAGGCAAGUAUUCUAUUGUUAUGGACAUGUACAUGUUUGAUUUAAUUUUCAUGGAAGUAUAUGGUAAGUUAGUUCUUGUUACAUGAACUUACUAAGUACUAAGUGCUUACCCUGUUUCAUUUUUCCCUGUUUUAUAGUGUUUGGAAGCUCGAGAGGUCGGAAAUAGGUCGGAGCCAUAUCACACUAUCAACCAUCACAUUUUGGUAUAUAAAAAUGUUAUACUAAUGUUAAUGUUGAAGUCUAUGGUUGUAAACCUUGCUAUUGGCAUAGCUAGUGUGAACUUGGUUUUGAAAUGUUAAUAAGUCGAAUUAUGAUUAUGCAUAAACACAUAUUGAUGAGUGUUUAAAAUGGUUUGAAACAAUAUUGAAAUUGCUUGGUUGGUAUUGGAACAAUUUGGUUUAGGUACUGGAUGAAAACGGGUAAGAAACGAGGCUUGGAUAUAGCUUUGUUUUUGUCUACACAGGUAGACAGGAUGUGUGUCCAGGCUGUUUGUGACACACGGUCUGCUACAUAGGCGUGAGACCUUUAAUAAUGAAAUUUUUUGGGGAUUUUACGAAAAGUUCCCUAUCAUCCUGAUGUAGUCCCGAAUCGUUUCUAAUACAUUUUUUUUGGACCUUGAGGGCCCAUCUAAGGGAUGUUAUGAUGAAUUUCAGGAUUUAAAUAGUAUUUGACUAAUUUAGUUGUAAAUAUUCCGUAAACUCCGGUAAUGCCUCGUAACCCUGUUCUGACGACAGAUACCGGUUGGGGGUGUUAUAUUGGCUCCUUGUUUUCUAUUAAACACUAGGCCAAUUACUCAUUAUUGAAAUAAUUUUACCAAAUUUAAAUAAAAAAAUUGGGAUGUUACAUGUUUGAAGUAAAAUUUGCAAAAUAAUAAAAAUAGUGUAAGGGAAGGAAUUUGAACUUGGAUUUCAAGAACAAUUUCAGCAACAUUUAACCAAUAGGCCAGUAACUCAUUUUCCCCCCCAGAAACACAGAUAAUCUCAGAAAUUUGGACAUGACCUCUCUCUCACUCUCGGUUCACAAAGCAAAUUCCACUAACCCUCGAUUUUUGGGAUGUGACAUUGCCCCCUCAAAAAAUAAAAAAUUUGAUUUAAUCCUUUAAAAUUGAUAAAGAUAUAGAUUAUUAAAAUUGUGAAAUUGCAUUUUUACUAUUGUAAAAAUAUACAAUUUAAUUCUGCCCCCCCCAAAAAUUUUUUUUUGGCUCCGCCACUGGUUAUGAGACAUUAAGUAAAUCUUAUCAUCCCUUGUUUGUUUCUCUAUUAGGGGCAUAUAAAGACAUAGAUUUUAAUCACAGUUUCAUGUUUUAUAGCUCAUAGUUAACCUUAUUAUAUAAAUAUAGUCUUUUAACUUAUUAUUUCUCUAACAUAUCCCACUUUAGAGUACAUUUUGAAAUUUAUAGUCAUAAACACAUCUUGUUAUCAAUAUUUUGGUUCAAAUAGCCCAUAGUAAACAUUAGGGAAAUGAACUGAAUACAUGAUACUCCCUCCAAAACACACCAAGGAGCACAUAGUGUUAGGUACCAAAUCACAUCCCUCUCAAACACAUUAAAAGGCACUAAAGUGCCAAGACACCAAACACACCAAAGAGCACCAAAGUGCUAAGCUAAAAAGCAACAAAGAAUGCACGUAAUGUGUGCAAUGCUCGAAGGCAACUUAACUCCCAGUACAAGACUUCGGAUAUAGGACUCUAGGUAUACAUAAAUCCCCAUUAGCAUGCCAAUCCCUAUCUUUCUUUUUCUUUUUGAUCCAAAUCCAUUUUUCCUUCCUAUAAUGGAAUGACUUUCAUUCAUGUUUAUUAUUAUUAUUAUUAUUAUCCAAGAUGAUGACAUCAUCACCAUUGUCUCUAUUCUCCUUGUUUUGAAGACUACCAUUAGCAGGUUUACUCACUUUUAUUGUUGAAUCUAGCAAAAAAAAAAAACAUAGAUUCUGCUAGCCAUAAGCUUAAAUCCAUUCAAUCUAUACAUCUCCCUUCAUGCAUUGGUCAUUGAUGAUAAUCUAACAAAACAAAAAUUUUAUCCACUUUUGUUCCUCUUUUGCGAGAUAAAUAAAUCAACAACUCUACCAUGGUAUUAGAACACCAAUCAUAGUCUUUUGUAGUGAAGCCUUAGUGGAAGAUUUUUGAUAAACAAAGUCACAGAAUAUGAUUUCAUUCUUAUUAGAUAAUGUUCAAUUUUUGCAUCAUAGCUUUCUCUCGACUCUUUUUUCCUAUUAGAAAGUUUCUUUAAAACAAAUCACAUCAAACCUUUCUAAAUCUCUUAAGGUAUGUAAGUUUCCAAUGAGAGUCUUCCAUUUUGUAGUCAAUCACAUUUGAUUCAAAAACGUUGCCUUAAAUCAAUUUUUUUAUGGUUAAGCCAAUUAUAUGAUAUUAUCAAAAGUGCCAAGAUUCGAAAAUAUAGAGGUAGUAUCAAUAUUAUCUUUAUAAUAGCCAGUUUAGAAACCCAUAUCUUAAAGGGUAAUUACCUUAUCCAACCUACAAGAAUAUAAAAAAAUAUGUGAAAAUGAAUGGGAAAAGUCCCAAGAGCACACUAGGUAACAAUUUUUUUCGAGAAAAGAAAAAGAAUAAAAAUUUAAGGGAAAAUGAAAAACCCUAAUGUAAUAACCUGAUAUUCUGCAAUGUCAGAAACAAUAGUUCGGGGACCACAAUUCUGAUGAUAGAGUAAUAAUAUUUACGAGUUCAUCGCAUUCAAACAUAUAUAUAUGUUUCAUUAUUCAUAUAUAACUUAACAUAUAUAUAUGUAUGAAUCUUUUGCGAGGUGAAUUUAAUUUUUAAACCUAUGCAUUUACUAAGCAUAUUUAAUAUUUAUCUCGUUUAAUUUCCUCUUCCCGAUAGAGAUUUUAACGAAACUCGAUAGGCAAGUCGGUCCACAACUCACACUAUCUGGUUCCUAUUUCGGUAAAAUUAUUUGAACUCUACACUGGGUCAAGUGAUAUGUAUAUAAGGACUAUUUGGUGAAAUUGUAUGUGAAUGAAUUGUGAUGUUUUGAACGUUGAGUGUGUGUAUAUAUAUAUAUGUACUCUUUUGUGAUACUUGUUCAAUGUUGGUGUAGACUAUUAGUGCGUUUGAAAUGGAAAUAAUUGCAUGUGUUAAAUAUGCUAACUUAUUUUGAAUAAUUGGUGGACUUGCAAAUGCAAACUAUUUGGACGAAUAAUAAUAAAGUAAUAGGAACACAUGGCGGAUAGACUUUGGGCGGACAUUUUUCUGACGGACCAUCUUGGCAUUUUUUGUUUAAAAUUUUUCGUAUAGAUUUGUAAAAUACCAGAAACUAAUAAUGUUGUUUAAAACUUGAUCAGCCUCAUUUAUGUUAUAACAUCUACUAUAUACGCUUGUGAUCUAAAUAGAAUAGAUUUCUUUGUUGGUUUUGUAUGUGAAUGUCCCUGUUCUACUGUAGCAUCUUGUAACUCAAGUUAUCAAUUGGAUCGGGUGAGGAUUUUUACAUCUAAAGAGAAAAGGAAGCUUGGAGAUUAAAUGUUGGGUCCUCUAAUUAAAAAGAAUAAGAUAUUAAAUUGUCUUAUUUGAAUUACAAAAUAAAUAUUUUGUUAGAUCGCAAGAAUCGGGAGUAGUUGAUUAAUGAGAAAACAUAAAUACAUUUCUCAAGAUUCUUCUUGAUAGAUUAGGUAAAUUUAUUGGGUUUUAUUCUAUCACGUAUAAGAUAUAAUGCUUAAGCUUCUUUUAUUGGAUUUAAGAUACGGUAGGUAAAGAACUUAAAUUGUAAAUUAUGAAUAUAGAAGAAUGAUAUGAAAAUUUUUGUAUUAUCCGUAUAUAUGGAUUUAAAAAAUAUAUAUAUGAAUUAUUAUAUUUUUAGAAACGUCCUAAGCCUACUUUGUCAUGAAAUAAACAUAAGCGAAUCUUGAGUUUUGUAAGUAAAGAUAGAAAAUAACAAGAAAGGUAAAUUGGUAGAAUUAUUGGAUCUUAUAUAAAACUUGUUAGGAUUUGAGCCAUUAAGGAUAUUUUAUUUUUAGUAAACAUUGUGUAACAGUAGCACUAAAGGUAGUUUCAAUAUUUUACUAAACAAUUUUUAAGUCUAAUUUCUAUAUCCAUCAUGAUUUCAAGUAUUUUAAACUCAAAAUGUGACUAAUUUAAUACAUAUUACGCAAGUUGGUAAGACUGUUAUCUAAAAUAUUUGGAGUUACUUCCAAGUAUAUGGUUAGUUUAUUUUUCUUAUAUGGUUCUGGAUAGGACUUUACCAAUCCUGGGGAUGAGCUAAGUUAUUAGAAUAAGGAGCUCAAGUAAGUGACUUGAUAUCACCCUUAAAAUCAACCUAAUCUUGUACAUAUAGGAUUAAGUACACUUUUUUUUUUGUUUUUUUUUUGCUCAGCCACUAGGAUUUAUUAAGAUGAGCUACCAAAACAAUAGAAAACAUACAAAGGUGCAGGACGAGAAAAGCACCAAACUUACAUAAAUAUAAAAAUAGAUAGCCAAAAUCUAUAAUAAGGAUGUAACGACCCAACCUUAGUUCGUGUUGAAAAUUAUGGUUCGGAAUCAAAUUCAGUGAACCGAGUUUGUGGUUUAUAAUAGGAGGAUUUAUGAAGUUUGGUAUGGAAGUAUAUUAAAGAAUGAUUAAGUAAUUAAAUAUGGAAAAACAUUAAUUAAAGUUCAGGAAUUAAAUUGUAAAAUUUCAAUCACUAUUGAAUUUUAAAUUAGAAAAUGAUUGAGGACUCAAUUAGCAAUUAAUUAAAGGGCCUAAUGGUUAUUUAACCAUUAUUAAUGCAUGAGUUUGUCGGUGAGACCAAAUCAAGUCUUCCAUUUCUAUUUAACUAAUUUAAGUUGGAUUAUAAUUAUUAAACAUUGGUUAAUCAAGUUAAUUAAGUCUAAUUAUAUUAUUAAUCAAAGUAUAAAUAAAAAUAGUUAGUGGAAGAUGAAAACAUUCAUCGUUUUCGACUUAGCUGUGCUGUCCCAAGUUAGGAAGAAAGAAAAAUUCCCAAGUUUUCAUCUCCAUUUUUUGUCCCAACUAAAUAAGGUAAACUUGUAUUUUGUUUGGAAUUUUAUGAAUUUUGAAGCAUGAGACCUUGAUUUAGCUAACCCAUGUAUCAAUUUCUUUAAUUGUUAGAUGUUUAGCAAGUUACCAUUAAAGUAUAAUUGAUGAAUUUAAGUUUGGAUUUGAAGAGAUUUUUAGUUAGUAAACUUGAAUUAUGUUAAGGAUUUAGAAAUUAAGUUAAGCUUUAUAGAUAAUUUUAUGAUAUUAGGAACUAAAUUGAAUAAAUCGAAAAUUAUUAAGAAAUUAUGCUAUAUAUAUUAAAAGUACAAGGUCCCUAAUGAAAAGAUAUGAAUUAAUAUUUUGAUUCGAUGUUAAAUAUCGAAAAAUAUGAGUAUUUUAGAUAUAAAGAUUAAAAUGAAUAAAAUGCAAAAUAUGUUUGAUUAUAUGUUUUUCAUGAGAUUGAGUGGAAACUAAUACCAUUUUAUAAUUGAAUUGUCGAAUGUAACUAAAGACGACAUCAGAUUGUCUCAAGAGAAAAGAAGGACGAGAGCCGGAGACAAGUAGCUAAUACGAUUUGUACUUUAAUGAUUUAAAUUCAAUAUGUAUAUAGAUGCCUUGUUACAAACUAGCUUAAUUAAGGUAAGAAUCUUACUUGGCUCAUGCUUUAGUAUGUAUAUGAUGAUAUGAAAUGGUAUGGAUCAAACUUAGCUUGAUGCAAUUUAUUAUGUAUGAAAUUAUGAUUUAUGGGUCAUAUAUAUACUUGAAAACAUUGGUUACCCUAUUAACUGUCUCGGACGGAGUCGAGUAUAGUUGGUGUGCCAUAAGAUUAUUGUACGGGUUUUAUUUUGGUUUAUACCGAUGAGGCGCAAAAUGCAUAUUAUACUUCGGAUGUUCUAAUAAGGUGCAGAGCGCACAUUACUUCAGUUUAUAUCGAUGAGGCGUGGAGUGCAAUUUAUACUUCGGGCAUAUCGAUAAGGCAUUGGUUUUCAGAUAUAUUGGUGUAAUGGUUGGAUGAUUCGUGUAUCUGUCUUGAGUUCGUGUCCGGUUAAUAGGGAUUAUGAAGCAUAUACCAUUCUAUUUGACAUUUGAUAUGAAAUACCAAUAUUGAAUGAUGUAUAUUGUAUGUUAUUGUUAAAGUAAUAAAAGAUGACAUGUGAAAGAUCAUGCAAACUGGUUAAAGCAAGCUCUCAAGGCUGAUAUGAAUAUAAAACAAAUAUAUAGAUUUGAGAUAAAAAGGAGAAAAGAAUGGAAUUAAAGUAUGACAUACCAUAUAUGUAAUUGAGAUAUGAUUGUCGAAACCAUUUUUUAAAGGGAUGUUUGAAAAAUAGGGAUCGACUUUUGAAAAACGAAAACGGGAGUCGCCACCAACCUUUUUAGGUGUGAUUAGAUCACCUUAUAAAACGUUUUGAUCUACGAAAAUUAAGAAAACAGGUUCGGGAGUCGGUUACGUACGAGGAAGGAUUAGUACCCUCGCAACGCCCAAAAUUGAUACCAAAUUGAAUAGUUUUCUGUCUUAAUGUCAAAAUUUUGAAAGGAUUUAAAAGUAUGAUCCCUUUUUUAAAACCGGAAUUAUUUAAGUUGAAAAAUCGAGAUUCCUUAGCUCCGAAAAAAUACAAACAUCACAUCUAGCAUGAUAGGACACGAUAUUCUUAAACUCUCGUAACUGAAAUCAUCUCGUGAUUUACAAAAUCUAUUUAGAAGGAUACUUUAGGCAUUUAGACAAACGGGAAAUCGCAACCCAGCAUGUUAGGGCACUAUUUCCCGAAUUCCUAAAUACGAAAAACAUUGCCUCAUUUUAGAAAAACUUUUGGAUAAAAUAUGACAAUUAAAUGAAAUAUAUUUUUUUAAAAAUAAUGAUUUGAGUAAAAUUUAAAAAAUAAUUUACUAAGAGUAAUACUAAAAAAAUUAUUAAAAAAAUGAAAGAGUUUGAUACGAUACUAAAAUUAUUAAAAAAAUAAAAUAUAAAAAAAUCAGGGAAACAUGGAUUAAAUCAAAAUAAAAAGGGUUGAAAAACGAAGAUGAACAAAGAAUAAAAUAAGAACAAACCGUAGAAAAUAAGAACGUAAGAGGGAGAGAAAUUUGAGUGAAAGCUCUAAAAAAAUUUUAUUGUUUCCCAAAACUCCAGUGUGUUUACAAUGAAGGGAGAGACCUCUAUUUAUAGUUGAACCUCCUCAAAUCCAACAGUACAGAUCAAUUACAUCAACGAUUAAGAUUAAAAUGUAUCUACAAAUUAAAUCUCUAAGAUUAAAAAAUCAUAUAUUCUAAGAUUGCAAUCAUAUCUAAGAUUGUAUCAUAUCUAAGAUUGCAUAUGAUAUCUAAGAUUGCAUAUCAUUGAAGAUUAUAUUUCCAUAUGAGUCAAGCUUGUAAAUGGACCUUAAAUCUAUUCAAGUAAUGGGCCAUUCCGAUCGAGCCAAAUUAUAUUUGUAAUUCUGGACUGAACUUGGACUUUUUUUUUUAAGUUUAUUAUUUUUGUUUUUGGACUUAUUUCUGGGCCCGGGAAAAAUUGAGUGUCUACAGCUGCCCCUCUUUGCUCAUUGCUGUGUAACAGGAAUAGAGCAAAGACUAUAAAAGGACCAAUUUUGCCUCGGCUCGCCGAGUCUUGAGUUCUUGAUCCUUGAUCUUCUUUAAAUGGCCUCUUGACGGCUUUAAUUUGCUUCACUGCAACUCAGGAAGGUGAUAUCUGCUAUCUUUGAUAUGCUCCCCAUCUAAUUACAGAGACGCCAAAGCUGUUAUCUUCGAUCUGCUCCCCGUCUAAUACAGAGACGCCAAAUCUUCUUAUUCAAUCUGCUCCCCGUCUAAUACAGAGAUGCCAAAUCUGUUAUCUCCGAUUUUCUCCCCGUCUAAUAUAAAGAUGCCAAAUCUGUCAUCUUGGAUCUACUUCGAUGUAAACACAUGAAGGUCAGAUCUGCUAUGUCUUCGAUCUGCUCCCCGUCUAAUACAGAGAUGCCAAAUCAUCUUGGAUCUGCUUCAAUGAAGGUCCAAUCUGUUAUGUCUUCGAUCUGCUCCCCGUCUAAUACAGAGAUGCCAAAUCAUCUUGGAUCUGCUUCAAUGAAGGUCAGAUCUGCUGUGUCUUCGAUCUGCUCCCUAUCUAAUACAGAGAUGCCAAAUCAUCUUGGAUCUGCUUCAAUGAAGGUCAGAUCUGCUAUGUCUUCAAUUUGCUCUCCGUCAAAUAUGGAGAUGCCAAAUCUGUUUCUUCGAUUUGUUCUCUGAUAGUACAGAGAUGCCAAAUCAUCUUAGAUCUGCUUCAGCGUAAACACGUGAAAGCCAAAUCUGCUAUGUCUUCGAUUUGCUCCUUGUCUAUGCAAGGAUGCCAAAUCAUCUUGGAUCUACUUCGAUGUGAAGACAUCCGAAGGUUAGAUCUGCUAUGUCUUCGAUCUGCUCUCCGUCGAAUAUGGAGAUGCCAAAUCUGUUUCUUCGAUUUGUUCUCUGACAAUACAGAGAUGUUAAAUCAUCUUGGAUCUGCUUCAGCGUAAACACCUGAAGGUCAAAUCUGCUAUGCUUUAGCCUGUUACCCUAUUGUUUAGGGGGUUAAGGCGCAUCAAUCUUCAUUGUCCCUUGAAGGACAUAACUUAUAUAAUGUGUAUGAGUUCAUGCCUAAUGAUUAGGAUGCUAUGAUCGAAGUGAGUCAAAUGCUCCUAAUUAAACCUGUUAUAAUGCAAAAUGUUUAUGAAUAUGACCCCUAUUCCAGACGUCACCACUCAUUCUUUCGUCAAAUUUUAUCCUUAUUUCUCUCGAAGUAUCAUUCCUACUCAGCUUGUGGGUUUGUACCAUUCUUCAAACGCUAUGACCCACCAAAAAUGUCUGUAAGAUGAUCCUCUCUUAGGAUCGAAUCAUUUGAUUUGUCCAAUCAUCAUUUUAGACUAAAGAAAGAAUUUCCUCGAGUUCUUUCAAACCUUACUUACGUGAAUUCUUCGAACAAUUAUUCUGUUUUAGUUUCUUGUAUUAUCUAAAAAUUUCCAGAGUAAUGAGCAAAACUUCAUUUGUGAAAAUUAUUUAGUUCAUCUAUCAUUAUUUUAAUGCAACAUACUUUAAGAAUAAUAGAAGAUGAAUUUAAUCUUGAGAAUAAUUAGAUUUAAAUAAAUUUGUCAAAAAUACAAACGAAAUUAAUCUGAAAGCCUAUCUUUGAGAAGAAAAAGAAACUAAAGAUAGCAAACAGGACAAAAGUUAGAUGCCCUAGAUAUCGCCACUUGAGCGUUUAUAUGCCAACUCCAUGAAGACUUUCUUGAAUCAACAUGUGUUUAAAAGAUCCAAAGUACUUUGUUGAUGCCCCGAUAUGCAACGCGCUUCACUCUUCGUUGAAUCAGAUAUAGCAAGAUUAUCGUGCGCUCUUCAAAAUUUGAGCUGCCUUUUCAGGUUUUCAACUCAAAACCCCUUUGGUCACAAGGGGCCCUUUGCGGGUUUUCACCUUGGCCUCUCUAUUUUUUUUCGAAAACUCAAGGCGCCCUUUGCAAGUUUUCACCCUGAAUUCUUCUCUCCUUUAGACAAAGUACUUUUUGACUGAGUCUGAAUUCACUGGAUUGGGCAAACUCUUCCCAUCCAUUUCCGUUAAGAUCAAUGCACCCCCAGAGAAGGCCUUCUUCACGACAUACGACCCUUCUCAAUUUGGCAUCCAUUUUCCUCUAAAGUCCUUCUAAAUAGGGAAGAUCUUUUUCAGCACAAGAUCCCCCUUAUGGAAUUCUCUUGGUCGCACUUUCUUGUCGUAAGCUCGCAUCAUUCGCUUCUGAUACAUCUGACCAUGACGAAUGGCCUUUAGCCUCUUUUCCUCAAUCAAGUUCAACUGAUCAUAUCGCGAUUGUAUCCAUUCAGCUUCAUUCAACUUUAUCUCUAACAAGACUCGAAUGAUACUCAUCAAAAAGUACCGGCUCUUGGAUAAUCUUCGUUGGCAAUUAAAUCAAGUCAUGUAUUCCUUCAUGGACUACCGGCUUUCUCUCAUCAUGCCUUUGUUGGCUUAAAUCUCUGGCAAUUACAUCAUGUAUUCCUCCAUAGACUACCAGCUUUCUCUCGUCGUGUUUACUUGGACUAUAUUCAGGCAACCGCACUAUUAUCUACUUUAUCAAGAAAUUCGUUUCCUUAUGACAAACUAUUCUAUUUAGGAAUCGAAUUUUGAAUCAACACCUUCUUUUCUUUGAUGUAAUGUAAUGCAAAUGCAUGAAUGCAAAAAAGGUAUCGAUAUCGAUUCAGUUUCAUUUUAGAAAACGUUAUUUAAGGAACAAAAGUCUUUUCAUAAAAUGGAUUACAAAUACGCUUUCGCUCAUAGGCCCAGAGUCUUAACCCUAUCUAAUAACAAAUCUAACUCUUGACCUCUAUCUGAACUGUCCCGCUUUAUAUUACUUUAGGACGAGUAACGGUGCAUAGCCAACGACUCCCCAAAUCCCAGGAAGAGGUACCCAAUCAAAACUGUUGCAGCGAUAAAGGACUUCAUUAGGAGUCAUCCAAGGUGCUUUCCACAAAACCUCCUCCUCUCGAAGAUUCUGAAGAAUAUCCAUCCACCUUUCUUCUGUAAAAUCGUCUCUCCUUGGUGUAGUUUCUGCUUCUUUUAAGGGGGAAUAACCCUCAAAGAACACUCGGCAAGGAACCUUCUCAAGCUUUCAAAAGUGACUAUGGAACCAUACUAACAACAACUGUGCACAUCCAAUGAAUCUACUUCACUGGCUCUCCAACAUGUACUUCAAGGAUCUAAACGUCUCAGCUAGGAUUACUAGCACCGGUGUGUUCUGUUUAUCAAUAUGAUCAAACAAAUCUGUGACUGUCUCAUCUAUGUGCCCUAUCGCCUUCGGGAAAAUCACCAAGCCGUAAAUACUUAAGGCCAAAACGUUGACCUUCUUCGUCACAUCUGGGUGUGUCAAUAUCAGAUCCCUCAAAAUGGCCCACGGAAUGCACUUACUAUCUCCCUUUUGCUGCACUCGAGCUGCAGCGCACUGCUCACUCAUCCCUGUGAUCAUCACUAAUUCCCUCACGAAAAUUGGGAGACUAGUAGGCCUAACAUAAGCUUUGUUACCUUGAAUUCUCGAACAGCAAAGCAAGGUUGUAUACUUCUCCAAAGUAGGCACUACAUCUACCUCUCCAAAUGUAAAGCAACUAUAAGCAGGGUUCCAGAACUGUACCAUAGCUCGAAACAGAUGCUUAUCUACCUUAAUGUCUAGCAAAUAAGAAAGAUCUCCAUAAGUAUGAAAGAAAAGCUAUCUAGCCCCGUCAUCUCAUUGGGCCCAAAUGUCCUUCAUCUCUUGAAAAUAUUCUGUGUCGAACUGAUACGAGUAAAGUCCCACAACUCUGAUGUAUAUCCCUCGGUGACACUAUCUCCUUUCUCUAACUGGGUUUUCUCUGACCACGCACAAACGGAAGAGUUGUCCUCCAUUUUAAGAUAUUCGUUCCUUUUUACAAAACUUCAAAACUUAGAAAUCGAACCUUGAAUCGACACCUUUUAAUGAUGAAUGAUAUGCGAUGAUGACAAAAUAAAAAACAAGUCGGUAUCAUAUAAAAAGAUGUAAUAAACAAGCACUUAUAAAGGUAGGUAUUAAAGGUCAUCACCAUACUACCUAGAGCAAGCACUUAAAGUUCACUAUAUGUAGUUCAGUUCUAAAGUAAGGGUACCUAAACAGUAGAUUCCUCGAUCCUCACCCAUUAUAGGCUCAUAUGGACCAAGUUCGGUUUAGAAGGAUACAUUUCCCUAUGACCAUGCGGAGAUGAAAAUCUCACGAAAACAUAGGUACAAAUAUAUCCCGGAAGUAAUCCACUAACUCAUGCGGAGGUGAAAACCUCACGAAAGCUUAGCUUCUCACUCCUACUUAAGGGUGUGACCACAACGAUCAUGCAAAUGCAAUGUACAGCAAUAAUGUAACAAACAUAUGCAGCAAACACAUGUAAAAAGGAUCCAAUUUUAAAUUUAAAAAACUUCUGACAUUAAGACAGAAAAUACUCAAUUUCUUGGCUUAACUCUCUUAAAUCCCCAGUGGAGUCGCCAAGCUGUCGAAACCAUUUUUUUAAAGGGAUGUUUGAAAAAUGGGGAUCGACUUUUGAAAAACAAAAACGGGAGUCGCCACCAACCUUUUUAGGUGUGAUUGGAUCACUUUAUAAAACGUUUUGGUCUACGAAAAUUAAGAAAACAGGUUCGGGAGUCGGUUACGUACGAGGAAGGAUUAGCAUCCUCGCAACGCCCAAAAUUGGUACCAAAUUGAAUAGUUUUCUGUCUUAGUGUCAAAAUUUUGAAAGAAUUUAAAAAUAGGAUCCUUUUUUUUAAAAUCAAAAUUAUUUAAGUUGAAAAAUCGAGAUUCCUUAGCUCCGAAAGAAUACAAACAUCACAUCCAGUAUGAUAGGACACGAUAUUCUUAAACUCUCGUAACUGAAAUCAUCUCGUGAUUUACAAAAUCUAUUUAGAAGGAUACUUUAGGCAUUUAGACAAACGGGAAAUCGCAACCCAGCAUGUUAGGGCACUAUUUCCCGAAUUCCUAAAUACGAAAAACAUUGCCUCAUUUUAGAAAAACUUUUGGAUAAAAUAUGACAAUUAAAUGAAAUAUAUUUUUUUAAAAUAAUGAUUUGAGUAAAAUUUAAAAAAUAAUUUACUAAGAGUAAUACUAAAAAAAUAUUAAAAAAAUGAAAGAGUUUGAUAUGAUACUAAAAUUAUUAAAAAAAUAAAAUAUAAAAAAAUCAGGGAAACAUUGAUUAAAUCAAAAUAAAAAGGGUUGAAAAACGAAGAUGAACAAAGAAUAAAAUAAGAACAAACCGUAGAAAAUAAGAACGUAAGAGGGAGAGAAAUUUGAGUGAAAGCUCUAAAAAAAAUUUAUUGUUUCCCAAAACUCCAGUGUGUUUACAAUGAAGGGAGAGGCCUCUAUUUAUAGUUGAACCUCCUCAAAUCCAACAGUACAGAUCAAUUACAUCAACGGUUAAGAUUAAAAGGUAUCUACAAAUUAAAUCUCUAAGAUUACAAAAUCAUAUCUUUUAAGAAUGCAUAUCAUAUCUAAGAUUGCAAUCAUAUCUAAGAUUGUAUCAUAUCUAAGAUUGCAUAUCAUAUCUAAGAUUGCAUAUCAUUGAAGAUUAUAUUUCCAUAUGAGUCAAGCUUGUAGAUGGACCUUAAAUCUUUUCAAGUAAUUGGCCAUUCUGAUCGGGCCAAAUUAUAUUUGUAAUUCUGGACUGAACUUGGACUUCGUUUUUUUUUUGGGUUUAUUAUUUUUGUUUUUGGACUUAUUUCUGGGCCCGGGCAAAAUUGAGUGUCUACAAUGAUGAUAAAAGAAAUUAAGUGUUAAUGUAUGAAAUUUCAAAUGGAAUUUUAUAUCGGUUAUGCACUUGAGACAUGAAAUGUGAAAUGAUUUAAUUGAUAGAUGAAUCAUAUAUUGAUUGUAUUAUAUCUUGUUUCUAUUGAUUAUUUAUUUAAAUUAUGAAAGUACCACUGAACCCUAUUGCUCAAAGUACGGUUUGUUUAUUUUAGUGCGUAGAUAUCGUUAAAUCUCGAAGUCUUGAGGAGUAAAACAGAGUCCAAAACUCACUUUCGACUCAACAAAGUUCAUGUAAGUUUUAUUUUAUUUUAUGAAAAUUGACAUGUACCUAAGGUCAUAAAUUGAUAUUAAGGUCUAUUUUGGAUGUUUUGGUGCAAAUGGUAAGAAUGUUACAUUUUGUAAAUGACAAUAUAUUUACUAAAUAGCAUGGUCAUGAUCAAAGUUAGUAAAACAAGGGUGUAUAUGCUCAUUUAGUAUAUGUAUGAUGUAUGAGAUUCAAUUGGAUGGAAAUAUAAAUAUGAUCAUUUGUUUUAAGAUGAGUUGAGUUAGAUUUUGGGUCAUUUAGACCAUUUGAGUGGUGUGAUUUGUAGGUUUGAGUUGAAAGAUGCAACUUGAGGAACAUUGAAGAUCUCGACACUCCCUUUUAGUAUUGCGAUAUUGAGCUUCUGUCUUCAUAGUCAUGGCUCUCCCUUGUUGAAGUUACAAUAUUGAGUUACCCCUACCUUCAAGGUCGCGAUGUUUCCUUAUUGAAGUCACGAUGUUGGGAUUCUGUUUUCAAGGUCAUGACACAUUCUAUAUGAUGUCGCAACAUCAGACUUCUGCAUUGGGGGUCACGACAUUAAUCAUCAGUGUUGCGACAGCACACCCUGUUUUGAUUAUUUUACAUUUAAACCCCUCAUUCAUCAUCAAAUUAAUAUGAGAGCUUUCAUAAGUUCGUUUAUAACCCUUAUUUAUUUAAAUAAUGCAUUUAAAUUAGUUUGAAAUAUAAUGGCUUGUUUAUUCAAUAUGUGAAUGAAAUUGUAGUUUCCCUAGUAACGAAUGUGAUAUCUCGUUAUCUCGAAUCUGACGAGCAAGUCAGGUAUAGGGUGUUACAAAGGGAACUAUAAAAACAAACAACCAGACCAAGGAACAUGCCAAAGAGACAAAUUCACCUAAAUAUAAUCCAUUAGCCACCCCCGAGCUAGCAUACUUGGAGUAAAGAAUUUCGACCAGUGUCACCGUUGACGAGGGCAUCCACAAGAUUGUUCGCUUCUCUGAAGACAUUAUCAAACGCCACACAGUUUAGCUUUAAACAGAUGGCAUCAAUAGUUUUAUAUUGGUCGACCCAGAAUUUCUGAGGUCGAUUAGUGUGAUUAAACCACCAUGAAAUAACCGUUCGAGAGUUCAAUUCCACAAUCAAACUGAACAAAUUUCUCCACCGAGAACAAGCAUAAAUUUGCAAUGCCAUCACAAUGGCCUUGAGUUCAGGCUCAUUAGAGUCCAUAAUACCAAGAGAUCUUGAGAAUAACAUCAAUAUUUUCCCGAAGUGAUCCCUCAACGCUCCACCGAAGCCAGCCAAACCUAGUUUUCGUCGAGCAGCGCUGUUGACAUUGAAUUUUGCUGCUCCAAAGGACGAAGCUGACCAUUUGAUACCCACUCUAGAACCCUGCCUGGAGCUGGAAGGCAAACAUAACCGAGGGGUAGUCCCACCAUUGCGCUUCCAAUAAAUCCACCUCAUCUUUCCUUACCUUCACCCGAUAAAAAGAUUUUAAUUUAAUAAGGAAAAAGAUCUCAUCCAAACUCAGCUGCAUUAUGUACGCAAAUUAUAUGAUUUGAUAUGAAUUUAGAAUGUGAUUUCAUUUCGAGAUUUGAUCUUUGGAUAUAUUUUUAUAUUCAAUUAAUUGUUUAUACAUAACUAUGAUUUAUUAUGUAAGAUGUUUUGAUGUGUUUUGUAAAAUUUAUUACUGCUUAAUCUAAAUCUUCUAAUAUGAAUAUGCACUUUGUCGACAAGGUUUAAACGUUGAUUAUGUCAACAUCUACUUUGUGAUAUAAAUAUUGAUUGACAAUUGUUUUGGUUAUAUUCUGUACAACCAUUAAGGUUUUUUUUUAUAUACUUCUAACUCAUUGCCAUUGGAGUUCCCGCUAAAGUUAACUUUAGUUUUCCACCUAUGUCAUUGGCGUUAAACCUUUGAUUUCGAGUUAGCAUAUUCUUAUAGUCCUUUAAACAUCAGUAAUAUGUUAAUUAGAAAAAUUAUUAUACUUUUCAUCAAGAUGUAAUACAAAAUUUAUGAAUUUUAGCGUUUGAUAUUUUAUGUUUCAGUUUAAUACAUAUAUCACUUUAUAUGUUUGUAGGAUUCGUGUUACGAGUAUGUGGUGUUGUUAUGUUGGAAUUACACCGAUUGGUAGGCACUUAUUGUGUGUUUGAAGAUAUGGAGGUGCAUCAGAAGGUGACGAAACCUUGAGGACUUAUGGGACUUUUUGGAUAUAGAUCACUUGCUUAUACCCUCAGCUACCCUCAGCAAAAGAUUUCGUAAGAUUCGAUAACACUAGUAGAGAAAGAAUGAUUUCGCUGAGAAGUGAUAUACUGACAUUUUCCAUACCUCGACUGUAUUAAUUAACGAAAUAAUUAGUCAACAAAAAAAAUUAACGAAAUGGUUUUAAAAUGCUUAAGUACUGUAAUUUAUUUAUUUUUGGUAAGCACGUUUCACAUACUUUAAUACAUGACUUCUAGUAGUUUCAACGAAGUUUAUUUUUAACACGAAAAUGUGGUUAGGAUUUUUGCAGAAUUUCUAAUUCCCAGAUAUUGCUCUUGGGGGAGAAUUAAUUUAUAGUGUACACAUGAAUAAUUUGACUAAAUUAUCAUUAAACAAAAAUAAAAGUUUUGGUUAUAUAUGGUCUUGUUUUCUUCAAUCUAUGUAGCAGUUUUGGCAUUGGGGUUGAAGUUAAGACAAAAGACAGCCAUGGUCAGCUCCCAUGCUGUUGUCUGUUUCAACAUCUGUUACUCGUUAUUACCGUUGAAAGUCAGCGAAGGAAGCCCAUAAAUCUUGUUCAAAUGUUCAAGUUUCAACGAUUAGACCAUAUCUACAUAUAUAUAGAAUUCAUUCCUAUUAAAACCCAAUUCACUUUGGUGCUCUUAGAUUAAACUUAAACAAGCCAUGGCAGGCAUUCAAGUUUCAAGCAGCCUGUUGUUGUCAAAAAGUUUGCCUUCCUUGCGCUAUCGUCGUGAAAUAGUUGGUGCGAGAGUUAACGCACCAAGGGUCCACCUUGGUGUAGUCUCUCACCCGAAGCUCUCUAGCAGAUAUUUAGUUGACGAAAUGGAAACGAGAACCGGUUAUCCUAUUGCUAGACAUGACACCAAAUCAUCUGAUGAUCCUCAGGUGAUUGCCAAGCUUUAUGCGAUCAUGGAGGCUAUUGCAGAUAGAGUGGAGAUGCAUAAGAACAUUGGAGAGCAGCGUGAUAAUUGGAAUGGCCUCCUUUUGACUUCCAUCAACGCCAUGACCCUCAGUGGUGCCACCAUGGCCGGGCUAGCCGCUUUAGCUGCUGAAGGGUCACCUUUGAUGGCAUUUAAGCUAUCUUCCAUUGUGCUUUACGUAGCAGCCACGGGCUUGUUGUUGGUUAUGAACAAGAUUCAACCAUCCCAACUUGCAGAAGAACAAAGAAGUGCUGCGAGAUUGUUCAAGCAGCUUCGUGUUCAAAUUGAAACGACAUUAGCUCUUGGCAAACUAGAUAUAAAUGAUGUUAAUGAAGCAAUGGAGAAAGUUUUAGCUCUUGCUAAGGCAUAUCCACUUCCUUUACUGGGUUCUAUGCUUGAAAAAUUCCCUUCAAAAGUUGAACCAGCAAGGUGGUGGCCAAAACAAAGGUCAAAACAAGGAUUUGUUGGGAAAAUAGAGGGAAACAAUGGUUGGACCAGAAAGCUAGAGGAAGAAAUGAGGCAAGUUGUUAGAGUUUUGAAGCAGAAAGAUUGUUGGCACAUAAUUAAAUUAACCUUGCACAAAUAAAUUAUGAAAAGUUAGAAGAGUGAAGAGACUUGAAUAUGAAAAGUGAAAAAACUUGAAUAUGAAUAGUGAAGAGACUUGAAGAUGAAAAGUUAAGAGGCUUGAAUAUGAAAAGAUACACACAUGCAUGAAUAGUCACAACUCCUAGCAUAUAGUGAUAUAGAUGAAUAGUCACUUACAACUCCUAUAUAAAGAGUUGUAUGUGAUGAAGAAUUAUUAACUUUGUGUGCUUGAAAUAAAAGAUUAUUUGAAAGAAUUUUUUCAUACAAAAUUUAUUUCUCUUCUCCAUUAUAUUCUUUAUCAUUUUCUUUGUUUUAUUUCUCCAAAUAUUAAUCAUUCAACUACAAAUUGGUAUCAGAGCCAGGUUCGAUCAAAAUGAACAAUUCUAUUCCUCUUUCUUCCGUUCCCCAAUUAACCAAAGAAAAUUAUGGAAAAUGGAGUAUCCAAAUGAAGGCUCUUCUUGGAUCUCUAGAAGUUUGGGAGAUUGUUGAAAAAGGUUAUAAUGAAGUUGAGGCUGAAGAGGAGGAAGGAUUAACACAAGUUCAAAAAGAGAGUCUAAGAAAAUCAAGGAAGAAAAAUCAGCAAGCCUUAUUUUGGAUAUAUCAAGGAGUUCAAUCAUAUGAAGCGGCUUGGGAAAAAAUAGCUUGUGCCACCACGGCAAAACAAGCAUGGGAAUUUUUACAAAAUUCAUUCAAAGGAGAUGAAAAGGUGAAAAGAGUUCGGUUGCAAACUCUUCGAGGAGAGUUUGAAAGAUUGCAAAAAACAGAGUCAGAAUCAGUUUCUGAUUACUGUUCACGGGUUUUGUCCAUAGUCAAUCAAUUAAAAAGAAAUGGUGAAACUAUGGAUGAUAUUCGUGGUGUUGAGAAAAUCCUCCGUUCUUUAGAUUCCAGAUUUGACUACAUUGUGGUUGCCAUUGAAGAAUCAAAUGACUUGAGUACCAUGACUAUUGAUGAACUCACAGGUUCGUUGCAAGCCCAUGAAGAAAGAUUAAACAAGAAGAAAAAGGAAGUAGAUCUAGAUCAAGCACUCCAAUCAAAGUUGUCUCUAAAUGAGAAGAAGGGAGAUUUUAAAAAUCAAAGAGGGAGAAAUCGUGGUCGUGGAAGAGGAAGAAAUUUUAGAGGAAGAGGCUCAAAUGCUCGUGAAAGAGGUGAAGAUGCAAGCACGGAGAAUGGAUGGAAAGAAGCCAACCAAAGUCAAAAUUUUAGAGGAUCACAAAGAGGACGUGGACGUGGAAAUCAAAGAGGAAGAGAUCGUGGCUAUUUUGAAUGUUAUAAUUGUCGCAAACCUGGUCAUUUGGCAAGUGAAUGCUGGUACAAAAAAGAAGAGAAAAAAUGAAGCUAAUAUAGUACAAAAUAAUCAAGAGAAAAAGCAAGAAACUUUGUUGCUCGUAUCUCAUGGUGGAGAGAUUGAUGAUGUCUGGUACAUAGACAGUGGUGCUAGCAAGCAUAUGACAGGUAACAAAAAUUUAUUUUCGAAGUUCUUUGAAUCUGGUUGUGGAGAAGUAAAAGUAGGAGAUGGCAAAGCUUACAAAGUUAGCGGUGUUGGUGAGUUGGAGUUCAAAACAAAGCAAGGAAGGGUAGAGAAAAUGUUUGAAGUUUAUUUUGUUCCUGGUCUUAAAAAUAAUCUGCUUAGCGUUGGGCAUCUUUUGAAGAAGGGGUAUGAUAUUCAUUUCCGUGACAUGGCUUGCUAUUUAUCAAAGAAAAAUCAGGUUGUUGCUAGAGUUGGAGUGGCAUCAAAUAAUCUUUUCUCUCUUACCCUUCAAAGUCAGAAUAUGUCUUGUUUUAUUGGUGCUCAUAAAGGAAUUUCAAAGUUAUGGCAUGAUAGAUAUGGACAUUUAAACUAUGGAAAUUUGAAUAUGCUUUCAAGGAAGAUGAUGGUUAGAGGUUUACCAAAAAUCGAUCGGCUUGAUGAUGUUUGUGAAGCAUGUCAACUUGGAAAGCAACACAAAAUUGCUUUUCCUUCUCAAUCCUCGUGGAAAGCAAGAAGACCAUUGCAACUUAUUCACUCAGAUCUUUGUGGUCCAAUGACAGUUUCAUCUUUGGGAGGUAAUCGUUACUUUAUCUCUUUCAUUGAUGAUUACUCAAGAAAGUUAUGGGUGUAUUGUGUCAAAGAAAAAUCAGAGGCUUUUCAGAGAUUCAAGAUUUCAAGGCAGAAGUGGAGAACUUUACUGGGUUGAAAAUUAACACCUUGCGUACAGAUCGUGGAGGUGAAUAUUUUUCAAAAGAAUUUGAGAAAUAUUGCCGAGAUAGUGGCAUCCGGCAUGAAAUGAUAGUCCGCCAUACACCUCAGCAAAAUGGUGUGUGUGAAAGAAAGAACAGAACAAUUAUGGAAAUGGCUAGAUGUCAUCUUAAGAAGAAGAGGUUAUCAAGAAGAUUUUGGGCUGAAGCUGUUUCCUGUGCAGUUUAUCUUAUAAACAGAUCACCGACAAGAAGCUUGGAGAAUUGCACACCACAUGAGGCAUGGUAUGGUAUAAAGCCUAGUGUUAGUCAUCUUAGAGUAUUUGGGAGUGUUGCCUACUCUCAUAUUCCAGAUGCAAUGAGAAGCAAGUUGGAUGACAAGUCAGAGAAAUGCAUUUUCAUUGGCUAUAGUGAAAGAAGUAAGGCAUACAAGUUGUAUAAUCCGGUGACAAAGAAGAUUGUGAUAAGCCGAGAUGUUCGGUUUGAUGAAAAUUCCAUGUUUGAAGAUAUGGAAGUUGAAAAGGAAAAUUUUCCAAUUUUUCCUUUUGAACUUGAAGAAGAAGAAGAGGCAGUAAUUGAGAAUGCUGAAGAUGAUGCUCAAGUAGAAAAUCCUCCUGCUUCCCCAAGUUCUUCAUCAAAUUCUUCUUCAUCCAGCCCGAUUCGAAAAACGAGAAGCAUCCAAGAGUUAUAUGAUGUAACGGAUGAAGUUGUGCAAAAUGAUGUUGUAUUCUUUGCCUUCUUUGCAGGAGAAGAUCCAAUUUCUUUUGAUGAUGCAUAUCAAGAAGAAAUAUGGAGGAAAGCCAUGAAAGAAGAGAUUUGCUCAAUUGAAAACAAUGAUACAUGGGAACUCACAGAUUUACCGCCGCACAAGAAUUCAAUUGGAGUCAAAUGGGUGUACAAGACAAAGAUGAAUCCGAAUGGCUCUAUCAACAAGUACAAGGCAAGAUUGGUUGCAAAAGGAUACAAGCAAAAGGAAGGAGAAGAUUUUAAAGAGGUAUUUGCUCCAGUUUCAAGACUUAAGACAGUUCGGUUACUUAUUUCUCUUGCUGCCCAAAACAAUUGGAAAAUGUUCCAAAUGGACGUAAAAUCUACGUUUUUGAAUGGUGUUCUCAAAGAAGAAGUCUAUGUUGAUCAACCACCAGGGUUUGUCAAAAAAGGAGAAGAAGAAAAAGUUUACAAGUUGAAGAAAGCUUUGUACGGGUUGAAGCAAUCACCCAGAGCAUGGUACAGCCGCAUCGAUUCUUAUUUUCAGAAGUGUGGAUUCCAGAAAUCUCCAUAUGAGCAUACUCUCUACAUCAAAGGCAAUUAUCAAGGAAGAUUCAUGGUUGUAAGUCUCUACGUUGAUGAUCUUAUUUUCACAGGAAAUGAUGUGAAGAUGUUGAAAGAAUUUCAGCACUCAAUGAUGGCAGAAUUUAAGAUGACAGAUUUGGGAGAACUUCAUCAUUUUCUUGGCAUUGAAGUUCAUCAAUCCGAGAAAGGAAUUUUUAUUUCACAAGAGAGCUACGCAAAGGAAGUUCUAAAAAAAUUCAUGAUGAAAAAUGCGAAUCCAGUCUCUACUCCAUGCAUUACAGGUCUGAAGUUAUCUAAAGAGGGUGAAGGAAAGCUUGUCAAUUCCACCAUAUUCAGAAGUUUGGUUGGGAAGUUGAUGUAUCUGACUUCGACAAGGCCUGAUAUCGUGUAUGCUGUUAGCUUGGUAAGUAGAUUCAUGGAGAAACCUUACUCCAAUCACUGGGAGGCUGCCAAGAGAAUAUUGAGAUAUGUGAAGGGAACCAUUGAUUAUGGAAUUUUCUAUAAAGCUAAUACAUUAGUUGAUCUCAUUGGUUAUACGGAUAGUGAUUUAGCAGGAAGCAUUGAUGAUAGCAGAAGCAUUUCUGGUUAUGUUUUUCACCUUGGUAGUGGUGCAGUUUCAUGGAGUUCAAAGAAACAAUCAAUUGUGGCACUUUCGACUACAGAAGCUGAAUAUAUCGCUGCAUCUUAUGCAGGAUGUCAAUUGAUUUGGUUACGUGGAAUUUUGGAAAGUCUUAAGCAGAAGCAAAGCAAGUCAACAAUUUUGUUUUGUGACAAUAAUUCUACUAUUUCGGUCACAAAAGAUCCAGUUCUUCAUAGAAGGACAAAACACAUUCGCAUUCGAUAUCACUUCUUGAGGGAACUAGUGAAUAAUGGUGAUGUUCAAGUUGAAUAUUGCAAGACGGAAGAUCAGAUGGCUGAUAUCUUCACAAAGCCUCUAAGUGGACAAGUCUUCAAGAAAAAUGUUGAAAGGUUGGGAGUUCAAAGCAAGUUUAAUUUAAGGGAGGCAUUGUUGGCACAUAAUUAAAUUAACCUUGCACAAAUAAAUUAUGAAAAGUUAGAAGAGUGAAGAGACUUGAAUAUGAAAAGUGAAAAAACUUGAAUAUGAAUAGUGAAGAGACUUGAAGAUGAAAAGUUAAGAGGCUUGAAUAUGAAAAGAUACACACAUGCAUGAAUAGUCACAACUCCUAGCAUAUAGUGAUAUAGAUGAAUAGUCACUUACAACUCCUAUAUAAAGAGUUGUAUGUGAUGAAGAAUUAUUAACUUUGUGUGCUUGAAAUAAAAGAUUAUUUGAAAGAAUUUUUUCAUACAAAAUUUAUUUCUCUUCUCCAUUAUAUUCUUUAUCAUUUUCUUUGUUUUAUUUCUCCAAAUAUUAAUCAUUCAACUACAAUUUGGCUGAGUAUAUAGAUUUGGGUAGCAAAGCAUUGAAACUUAAUAAAAUGUUGGCAAUAUCAGGUCCCUUGUUAACCAUUUUAGGGGCCUUGGGAUCUUCCUUCGUGGGCACUACUUUUUUUCAUGGCCUGUGAUGAUGGGAGUCGUAGCAGGUGCAGUAGCUACCACGGUGAACUUGUUGGAACAUGGCGGCCAGGUCGGAAUGGUGUUCGAGAUGUAUCGAGGUAAUGCCGGAUUCUUUAAGCUGAUUGAAGAGAACAUAAUGUCAAAUAUCAAUGAGAAAGAUGUUGAGAGAAGAGAAAAUGGAGAAAUCCUUGAAAUGAAGGUGGCUUUGCAGCUAGGGAGGAGCCUAUCAGAACUUAAGCAACUUGCAGCAAUUGCAGAAUGCAGUGAAGAAUUUGCAAGCAAACUAUUUUGAUUGAUAUAUAAGCUUAUAAAUGAUUCUUUAUUUUUUUGUACAUCUUAGAAAUGAUUCUUUUGUAUGUAUAUAUGUAUACGUAACCAUUCAAACAUAAUUUUAACAGUUACUUGAUCAAAUGAACAUCUUUGUUGAGUAUUGACAAAAAACUGGUUAUUAGAACUCAGAACAUGAAGUCAUAGUUUGAAUUCAUAUGAAGUUUUAUUUUCAUCUUGCAAAGAUAAGAUGAUCAAAUUGAUUUAAAAAAAAAGUGGAGUUUUAUAUUCAUCCUGAACUACCAUGAUGUAAGACAUAAAAUUUUUUUUAUUUUGCAAUAAUUAUUUAUUUGUCUCUUCAACUUUACAAAAAAAUCAUUUUAAUAUUUUAUUUAAAUUUUUACUUCUUUCUACCUUUAAAUUUUGCAAUUUGCAUAGUGCAUUUUACAUCAACAAAAUUAAUUAAUAUCUAUUUUAAAAAUAAUUAUAAAUUUAAAAAUUAAAAGAGAUAAAAAAUUAAAAUAACAUAACUAAAUAACUUAUUAUAUAUAUAUUUAAAUAACUCAUUAUAUAUAUAUUUAAACAUCAUGAUGUAAUAUGGAUAAAACUAAAAGGGAGGCUGAUUUUGUGAUUGGCCCCAUAUGGAUGGAUUUUUGUAGAUAAAUAAUUCAUUUAUAUAUAAUUUUAUAAAGUAUAGCAUAUACUAAGAUGGAAAGGUUUGAAAAUGUGAUUAUUAAAAUUAGCUAUAGCGUUAAUUUGACUCUCGGCCAAGAGACUAGACAGAUGAUGUCACACAAAUUAUAUUCACCUUCCAUAUACAUGAUAUUGAACUAGUUGGAAAAAAAUAUAUUUAUUAAAAAUUAGAUAAUAGUAAAGUUGAAAGUUUGAAAUUUAUGUGUGUUUUUUUAACUCGUAAUUUUUGAUUAAUUUAUAAGUUAAAAAAAUUUAUGUGCGUGUAUCAAUGCUACUUUCUUUAAAAUUUUUAUUUGUCCCCCUAAUAAUUUGAUAUGCAAAAAAGUUAAUAGUAAAUGAACCUCGAGGAUAAUGAAACUCAAUGGUUGUCUACAUUUUGCACUAGUAGAAAUAGUUCACUGAGCACUGAGCAGAGCAUAGCAAGUAUAUCAAUUUCUAUAAAAAAUUUCUACAGUAAUUAUUUAUAGAACAAUCUAGAAAUAUUAAAAGAUGGAGGAGAAUAAAAAGAAACUUUUACUUCUCAAGUUUUGAUGUGUUUUUGGUGUACCAAAUAAAUGAAUUUUAACUUCUAUUUAUAGGAGUUCUCAUGUCUCUUAAUAGAGACAUAACUAUCCAAAUGAAUAAUCACAUCUUUUAGCAAUAAACAUAAUUAUUCAAUAGAUAUAUAUUUGAAUAAUUAUGACUUUUUAUUAUUAAUUAAGUGAUAUAACUUUUGUUGACAAUAGACAUAAAUUAUCACUAUAAAUAGUGACAACUCUUAAUUAAUAACCAAGUGACAACUUUUGAAUCACUUGUAACUUUUUAAUUAUAACUAUUGGAACAUUAAAAAUAUUUUGAAAAUGUUCCAACAAUUCCCUCCUCUCUGCAUUUUCAAAAUAUUUUAGAUUUUGAUAAUCUUGAAAAUCGAUUGCAUAAAUGAAGGGGUCUUAGGAUUGAACUUUAAUUUAAUGAAAACAUGUUAUAGUUAAUCAAAAUUGCAUGGUAGACUAUGGUUUGAACCAACUAUUUCAUUUGAUUAACUGAACACAUCUCACACAACGAUUUCAACACCAAUCAAUGCACGGUAUCUAGGGACACUAUUAUGACCAUGUGUUUGUAACCUCUUUUCAUGUUGUUAAAGCCAAGUCCUUGAGCUCCUAGAAGCGAUUACAUUUCUACUCACAUAGGUAGAUCUCAUUGAGAUUGUUCCCGUAAUUAUAAGAAUCUAACAUAUUUAUGUUAUGUGUCUAUUGAGAAUGUAAUACUCAUCCCCCCAUCAUUACGGAUACCUAGCACUUUUCACCCUAUGAUGGUAUAUUAUAUAAUGUUUUAUAGUGUUAGUAGUCGCAUACUGAUGAUGUACUUUAUCUCAUUGAACUUAAGACUUAAUGUUAUACCAGGCGUUGGAUCGAGUUUCCGUCAUGGGUAACUCAAAUAGUAUGGUCUUGUACCUCAUUCCUAAAUUUCCAAAUUUCUAACAUAGCUAUAUUAAUUUUCUAUAUCACUUGGUGAAACUUUAUAUUUAUUUGUGUCUUGAAAGUUCACAAGACCAACAUCUCCACCAUGUUAUUCAUUCUUUUGCAAAAGAAUGCUAUCAAGAAUGCCAUUUGUAUGAUUAUCAAUUAACAAUGAUCACUUUAUUGGUAUUAUCAUGUAUUUUUCACCAAGUAAAAUGUUGCAAAAAGACCUCAAAUCCCUUAGUGAAACUAGACAACAUAUUUCCUAUUUUUCAUAACCUCUUUUCAUUGUCAAUACACGACCUUUAAAACUUAUCACAUAUGCAUAUCCAAAUAACAUUAUUUCUUAACAAAGCAAGGGUAUUUCAUAUAUUUUAGUAAAUAGUCAUAUUAGAGGAUAAUCAACUGUCCAACUAUUUGACUACAACGUCACACAUUUAUACACCUUUUAUCAUGGAUAUUUUUAAUCAUUUUGUGACUAUAAUCAAAACCAUGUCCAUUACUAAAAUAGGUCAAAUAGAAUUAAUAUUGGUAUUUUCAUACUAACGAGAUCUUUGAUUCACAACUUUUAAAGUGAAUUUCAAAAUUUUACUAUAUCUCAAAAUUAUAAGACUAUAAGAUUAUAGAUCAUAUCUAAGCUAUAUAUAUAUAUAUAAGUAUCAUGUACACUAUUAGGAACAUGCAUAAUAUGAUCUCGCUUUCAAAUCUAGGAUUAUUACAUUCACAUUUCCACUAAAAGAUUUUGUGCUAGAAUAGUGAUUUUAUGAGAUCAACUAAUGCUUUCCACUAUUCUAUGACUAGAAAAUUAAUGAUAUAUAUUGCAUAUGACAUAUUUAAUUUCUAGUUAAAACCUAUUUUAGUUCAACCUUUAUAAAAUAGAGUAAAAAAUGUGCAAUCAUAUAUAAAACACAUUUAGCUUGGGGUUAUUAUUUUAAAAAAAACAACAAAGAUUAUUCAUAUUAUUUAUUCAUCUAUAAACUUUUAUUUUUAGCAAUGAAUACACUUCAAAAAUGUCUCAUCAAUAACAUCCGAAUGCUAGUUAAUAUAAGUUUUCUUACCUGGUGAGGCAUGAGUUUAGUUAUAUGUAUCAAUUAAAACAUUUUAAAAAUAUUUUAUAAUUUUGUAUAAUUUUGUUUGUUUUAUUGAUAUUAUAAAUAAAUUCAAAUUAUUUAUUGCUAGUAAAAUUCUAAAAAAAGUAUUAGUACCAAAAAUUUAAAAAAAAAAGAAAAUAAUAUCUUUCUCUAAGUAAAAAAAAUACAUACAUUUUCGAAUAAAAGUUUUAUGUAAAAAAAAUACAUACUGAAGCAAUUAUAUUGGCACACACAGUGCAUCAUCUGACAAGCCGAAACAAUUAUACUGGCACACACAGUACAUCAUCAGACAAGUUGAAGCAAUUAUAUUGGCACACGGUGCAUCAUCGGAUAAACCGAAGUAUAACCUAUCCAUUUAAUAGGUAACCAAUUUUCAAUUCCAUUAUAAGUUCAAUUUACAUUCUAGCAAUCUCAAUUUAAUCAUCAAUUUAAUAUUUCAAUAUCGUAUAUAAAUUCUUAACUCAAAUUCAUACCAAUUUCAUGUAUCAGGUAAGUUAUACAACUUUCUAUCUUAUUUGAUUUAGUCCUUUAUCUCGAUAUACCAUAUCAAUCAUCUCAACUUAACUCAUACAAGAAUUAUAUACUUACCUCAUGAAUAAAUCAUGCAAUUUAACAAGAACAAGCAAUAAUUAGACUCAACAUAUCAUAGAAAUACAAACUGAAAUUUCAAGCUAUUCGUCGACGACUUUAGCUUUUCCUUUUCCUCUUGAGGAAUUCGAGUCAAUGUUAGCUACGUAUUAACAUAAAUAUACAAUAUUAUCAAUAUCAAACCAAAUUAAUAAUUAAUUUUCAUUUUAUAUAAAUUUUUCAUUUUAUUUAAUUUAGUCCCUAAAAACAAGACUAACAUAACUUUCAAAUUAAAACUCCAAAUUUAAUUUCGAUUUCACUAUAAUCCAUUAGGGACCUCCUAUUUCUUAUUUCUAUAGAAAAUUUUACAUUUUAUUCAAUUUAGUCCCUUUAUACGAAACUAUCAAUUAAACUUUACAAUUUAAUCCUUUUUCACACCUAAGCUUAAAAUCUAUCAAUUUAACACCUAAAAUUUUCAAUUCUUAACUAUAGCAAAUUUCAAAACUUUAACAGUUUUACAAAUUGAUAUAUUAGCUAGCUAGAUUAAGCUCCCAUGAUCUCAAAAAUAUAAAAUUAUAAGAAAAAAACUAAAUUGAAACCAAUUUGUUGAAAUAAAAGCUUGAGAAUUGGCCAUGCAGUUUUCCCUUUAAAUUUUUCUCAAUUUUGGUGGGGAAGAUGAUGUACUCUCUCCCCCACCGAUUUUUAAUAUAUAUACAUAUAAUUUUAUUUUUUUUAACUUUUUAAUAUAUAACUAAUUAAAAUUUUAUAAUAUAUUUUUAUAACAUCCAUUUAUUGUCCACUAACAUUUCUAGUGUGGUAAAUUUUUCAUUUUACUCUAUGGUUUAAUCACUAUAUAAAUCCCCAACUCAUUUCUUAAUAAAAAAUUUAUAGUGAUUGGACUUUAAAAUUUAGUUUCUGAACCUUAAUUAAGCAUUAUUUCAGCAAAAUUACCUAUCCAAAAUUCAAUAAAUGUAACACCCCAAACCCAACCUUGAAGUUUAAGCCGAACCUGGACGAGUUACACCAACGUAUUGAAAACUGAUUUCAGUAAUUAUCUAGAAAACAUUCAAAACUUUACUUGAUUCAUGGCGGAAAAAUCUUUUCGGAGUUUAAUGUUGAAAACCAAAAUCCAUUUUGUUGACUUGAGUGGUUUUGUAGUUUCACAUUAAAAGUUAUCAACUACUGACGAAUUUAGCAAAAGUCAAGACGAGCUCAGAAAUAGACUACAAACCAAAAAGAUCAAAAGCAUUUUUACAUUAUUACAAAACAAUCCGAGCUCCCACACACCAUCCAGUCCUAAGUCAGAGACUUACUGGAACACACAAAUAUAAAACCAAAAGGUGAGCUAUAAAGCCCAGUGUAUAACCAACAUCAAUUGCAAUUAACAAAACAUAGUAUAUAAAUCAAAGUAACAUAGAGAACUUAAUAGCGAGUAUAAGACUAGAACGGAAUAGACCAAAGUAUCAUGGAGAUUGCCGUCAUGCUAAUAUAACAGAACAACACAAACCUACCGGAACAGGAUAGAGCGGAAGAUGACAGAGUGGAAUAGAGCAGAGCUGAACUAAACAUAAUAGAAUAGAGUAGAGCUGAAUAAAGCUACGCAAAUGAUGUAUGUUUAUGCAGAUGCAAUAUUUUUUUCAAAAUAGAUCAGAAUACAGAUUUAUUAGAAAAUAUUCUACCCAACUCCACUACACACCAAGAUAGAGUUCCCCCAGAACUUGUCCAACCAAAUCACACCAACAGGUAUCCGUGGACAGUGCCACCAGAAUUUUCCAGUUAAAACUGCUAGAUCAGAUAUUCGUGGUCAAGCUACUAGAAUAGGUCCGUGGAUAAACCACCAGAUAGUGCAGAUAAUUAAACUGCAAGAAACUUCCUCUUUUCACAUCAUCUCAAGCCCUAUGCAGUGUGUCAUGACAUGCAUAUGUAGAAGCAUAGUGAUAAGCAUGUAAGUCAUGCUAUCGUACAACAACAUAGUCAAUAGGAAUAGGAGCCUAUGCGUUAUAAAAUAGAUUGAUCAAAACUUAACAAAUAAUAUCAAAUUUUCCAUAAAGUCACAUGCAUGGUUGUAAAUCAGAAUUAGUGCCAAUCAAUUUAGCAUAUUUGAUGUCACAUGUUCUUAGGCAAUAGAAUAACGUAGAGGCAUACCAUCAAACUUAAUAGAAUACACAUCGUACCUGGAUAAUUCGCAUAAAUUAAACAUGAGCACAUGCCACUCUAAUAGAUCCUACUUAUUUAGGUUUAAACAUAGUGGAUAUACGUACAGAUUACAAGGUGGUCAUCACCAAAUCAUCAAAUAUAAUCUUAUAUAACCUAAUUUAGAUUGUACGGACCCUACAGUAGGCUUACAUUCGUUUUGAAAGAUCCUUGUGGCCUAAGGGAAAAAAUUCCAAAUAUUGGUCCACACGCUUGUUUGGUUUCACACGGCUUAGAUACCUGGCCCGUAUGCCUCCACACGGUCUAGCACACGCCCGUGUGUCCUAUACGACCUGACACACGCUAGUGUCACCUGCACGUGUGGUCCUAGUCUGCAAUCAGUGAGUUACACGGUAUAGACACACGCCGGUGUCAUUGGCCCGUGUGAACCCUGCAUAACACAUAACCACACACGACUUGGACACACGUCCGUGUGCCUCCAAUUUUCAAGAACAAAGAGUUACAAGUCCUAUCACACGGUCUAACACACGACCGGGUGGCUUGUAUGGCCUACCACACGGCCUAGCACACUACUGUGUGGCAUCGACAAUCAGUUUUUCGAUGACUAAAAUUGAAACAAAAGUUGGGUUAUCGGUACCCACCUGAGACAGAUUCAAUGUAGGAGCAACAAGGAUGAAUUCCCGUAUUUAAAACAACAUUACAACAAUAGAUUAAACGACUUAUUCGAAACAAUCAUUAAGAUUAACAUCCAAACCUGAAAUGAUGUCAAAGAACUUCGACACGAAAUCUCAAAACAAAAGCUAACGCUUACCCUUGUACGAAAUCAGCAGUACAAACUUAGAAUGUUGAAAGAACGUUACUUUUGAGAACUUCGUCUAACAAAGACUUACACAAAUAAGAAUCCAUUCCAAACAAAAAGGACGUAACUUCGAUCAUCAUCAAACUCAAGCAAAUAAAACUUGACAAAGGACACUUACAGUUCAAUUGAAGAUUAACCGCACAAAGGAACUUGGAGUAACAAAUACAAAAGGAUUCAAUGACAGAAUAAUGAAGUAGAAGAAAGGAAAAAGUAUAAUUGAACGGAAGAGGAGUAAAAAAUAAAAGAAAGAAAAAUAGAAGGAGAAGUGGAUGUUCUGUGAAUAUGAGAAUCGGAAGUUAAUUAACUUGUUUUCUUUAAAAUCAAACAAAACAAACUAAAUUACAAAAUAAUGCAAAAAUUUUCCCCAUUGCUUACGUAGAGACUCAAACACAAGACUAAAUGGUAUACAAAAGCUUAACCAUUGAACCAGUCAUUCUUAUUAUUAGUUGAUCGAAAAUUGUACUUAUGCCAAAUAAUCAAGAGUAAGGGUUUGAUAAAAAUAACAAAAUUUAAAAGACCAAGAUUCGAACUCAAAAUCUCACACACAUGACUAAAACACCUAACCACUAAACCAAAUUAGUUUACUUGUUAAAAUUUCUAAGAUCUUAACUCAUAAAUCGAGAGAUGACCACUCUUGAUUUCAGAACUCAAUUUCUUCUAACCUAGUUUUUGGGAUGUUACAAUUCAUUUAUAAUAUAACUCCGUAAAUAUUUUUUUCGGUCUUUAAAAUGGAAUCUCAAAACUGUAUUUUUCAAUAUCACUAACUUUCGGGUCGUUACAUUUGCUUUGUUGUUUGUGAGUUAAAUUGUCAUUUCGAUAGAAAAUUUAAUUGAGGUCAUAGCUUUCAAUCAAAUUCUUUUUUUUUCUUUACAUGAUUUUAAGUUUUUUUUCUAGCUAUUAGGAUUAUAGAAUGAUUGACAAUUUGGUGAAUUAACUUGCAGCAUUCUUUUAAUAAUUGACUUAAUUAGUUGGUUAAUGGGUCUAUAUUUUAUAAUAAAGACAAUAUAUAAAACUUUCUUUUAGGUAAUCUUACAUUCUAUUAACCAAACGUAUGAAUCUUACAUUCCAAUCAAAUGAAACAAACAAGUUAGUCUCACAUUACACCCGUAAUUACAUUCCUCUAAAUCCUAUUAUGGAACAAAAUCUAAGAUUCGACGAACCAAACAUCCCUUCAAAGUAGUCUGCAUGUAACAAAGCGACUCUUGCAAGCUUAUGGGCUGCCUUGUUAGUGUCUCUAAUAUUAAUCUAAACUUUGAAAGCCUAAAUAGUCCUGAUUAGAAGAAAUUGAGUUCUAUGUAUUUAGUUGAAAUUGAUUUUAGGUUCGAUCUCUGGACAAACUAUAUUCCUUACUUUUUAUCUCAAAAAAGUAAACAAGAAGCAGCCUAAAAGGUGUUGAUUAUGGUUGUUUAAAUUGGAUUGGACUAGUCGAUAUACUAGUUCAAAUAAAAUGAUUGAAUUGGUUGAAUCGUGAAUCAUUUUGAACCGUGAUUGAAUUAGCAUUGAACUGAAAACCAAUUGAACCGAUUACUUUUUAUUUUUUGGGCCAAAAUUCUUAGCCCAAACCGAGAAAAAAAGCUCAACCCUAAACCCAAUAACCAACCAACUCAAACCUAGUUCAUAAAAGCUUUUUUUUAAAAUAUUUUUUCUUAUUUUCCAAAUUUAUUUUUUCUAGAUGUCCCUAUUUUUCAAAAUUUUUUUAGUACUUAAUCAAUCAGACCAACAAUCAUACUGGUUGGACUGGUGAAUAAAAAAUCGAUGAUAUGAUCCAUCCGACUAUAUGUAUAAUUCUAAAAAUACGUCUUACAUGCAUAUAUAUCUCAAAUAAACAAAAAGGUAAGGGGGCAUUUAGAAAUUUAAUCCAAAAAAUAACUUAAAGAUCAAAAAUAAAAUUGCGUACGAGAAUCGCGCUCCUUCAUCUUCUUCAUUAAUGGAAAACUAAUCUGUUUUUGUGCUUUUCGGUGUUGGGUUCGUUGUUACUGAAAGAGCUUGCAUUACUCCUUUUAAUUUUGAUCAUCUUUUUGGGGUUCCAGAAAAGGAAUAACGUUUAAAGAUGCUACAGUUGUUGUUCACGGUGAUAUUCGCAGAGAUGGCGGUGAUCAUCGUACUAUGCUUCAAGACACCGUUAAGGAAGCUGGUGUUAAUGGUUCUGGAUCGGGCCAAGAGGGGACGAGGUCCGGUCAUAGUGAAGACGGUGGGCGGAACAGUAUCCGUUGUGAUGUUGUCGUACAUAUUCAGCAUGAUGAUGCUCAAGAAACGCUGGAUCGUUGAUGGAAACGCUUCUCUAACGGACGAGAUUCUCAUGGCCAAAAACCUCCUCGAAACUACUCUCAUGGGUAAUUAAUUAAUUAAUUCUUCCUCCAUAGUUCUAUUAAAAUCUAAUCCUAAUUUUUUUCACUUUUAUUCGCGAUCUUGAUUCCUUCUACCAUACGGUAUGCAAUUAUUAUGAUUGUUUAUAUCUUAUUUUCUUUUCUAGAAUGCUUAUUAUUUGAUUUUGACCUAAUUGUCAAAAUAGAUUGGUUUGAUUCAAUUGCUUCUUUAUGCAAUUAGGGUGGCGAAGACUUGAUUCAGGUUCCAAAUUCUAAUAAUAUCAAUACCCUUUUACUUUUGAUUCAAUUCCCUGAAAUGUAUACAUUAUUUAUCUUCAAAAAUGGAGGGAAAACAGGACAAUGGUACCUGUUUUUUAGCCUUAUAUAUAACAUAUAGCACUUGGACCUUCAUUUUUCUUAAACACUAUGUUGAACACAUAGAUCUGAGGAUAUGAUCUCUAAAGGUGUGGAAAAUCUUAGAAAAAUCUAACCAUGCCCGUCUCGUAUACUUACUCAUAGCUGACGCUCACACCUGAAUCAUGUAUUCUAUAAUUCUCCUCUUGCAGUGUAAACUUUCGUUUGUUUUCUUGAUAUUAUGGUUUUUUACAUGUCAUAUUAAUUCCCAAAAGUUGAUGUAUGCUUCAUUCUUCAGCUAGAAGUUCACUGGGGAUGUCUCUCACUUCCUUUUUGGUCGGAUAAUAAACUGUGUUUUUAAUGGUGGGUAACUUUUUUUACAGGGGGAUUGCUAUUCCUAUCACUAAUUAUAGACAAAUUACACCAUUAUAUUAAAGAACUCCGUAUAAGAAGGAAGACCAUGGAGACUGCCAAGAAACAAGGUCAGGGAUUUGAAGAUGCAGGUGGGUCAGACAAAGUUACGGCCCUGGAGGAAGAAAUAGCCACUCUGAGGGCAAGGAUUAAGCAGCUUGAAUCUGACUAGAGCUUGUCACAUUCAGGUGGUAAGAAGAACGAAUACCUAAGGAAUUUGAGCACCUCUUGCGAAUGUGUUUUUGCAGUUUCAUUAGCGUUUUUCCAAUAAAGGUCUUCAGGAGUUCUGUAAUGGAUUUGAUUUUUGCAGUUUAGUUCUUGAAUUUUGUCAAACGGAGAAAGAUCCAAAGAAAAAAAAAUACACACACAUACGUAUAUAUAUUUGAGAAAUUAGCCUCUCUUUGUCAUUUCAGCUUCAUGUUUUUAUUAUUGAGAAUCUACUGUUCAAUGAAUCAAUGGAUGAGUUUUGAUCUUUGAUAUAUUUUAGAACAUUGUAAUAGUUUGAAUGCUAGAAUAAGAACUUUAUAUUACCCAAGAAAAUGGAUUUUUAAACCAACAAAAUGCUUGGUAAUUUGAGUUAUAAGUAUGCCCAAGAAAACCAUCAAACUAUUCUCAGUAACGUGCAUCUAUGUCUAUAUAUUAAGCAUGUGGUUGAGUUGUUUUCUUGAGUUAUUAUACCUAAUAAUUGUAUUAUUGUAUUGUGUAGAGGGUAUUUUUACCUUUUUAUAUAUAAAAAUAUAUGAUAUGAUUUGAACACAAAUUUUUAUAAUUUUCAAUAUUUAUACAUCACCAUUCAACCAAAAUCUCUCACACAGGUGUUUCAUAAUUUAAUAUUUAUAAUUUGAUUAUUAAAACCCAAGAGUUCUCCAAAUACAUCUUAGAAAUAGUUUAGAAUUACGUCCCAUAUCAAACAUAUACCCGUAUUAGGCACUUAUUUCGUCGUGGCUCCAGCAUUUGAUUUCUUGUUUUUGCAAAAAGCCAGUAUGGGAUCAUCAGUUCCACCCAACAGCCGGUCAAUGUUAGCAGCAGUGAGCAUCAUUAAGCCAAGAAAAACCAGAACUGACACUACUGACAACAAAAGCAUUAAGAGAGUUGCAACAUGACAUUUCACCUCUCGUGAGUAUUCAACAGCUGCCAUGGCAAGGAAGGUUAACGGGAAAGAAUAUGCCCACCAUGCCACAUUGAAUUUCCUCAUGGAUUUCUUGAAUAGGAAUGGCCUGCAAGCCUGUAAAAACCGACCAUAGCAUAUAUCGAUGUCACUGUCUGGUUUGACUGCUAUAUAUAUAUAUAUAUAUACUACAAACACACAUGUUUAACGUUGUUUGCUGUAAAUUUACCAGAGAUACGAAGAGGAAGAGAGAAAAGAAAAAGAGCAUCUUCGAUGUGGUAUCGAAAGUUCCGGUAAUGGAGUUCCAAGCUAAACUACCCAUGCUGGGAGCAGCAAAGAACAAGAAGAACGUUGGUCGUAAAAUCGUAGGGAGAGAAUUUUGACGCGAUAAGCGUUGAUAGAGUGUAACAAAGAGUACUAAAUAGUGAACCAUACCAAGUGACCACAUACAAACUGCACUCUCUUUCCAGCCCAUCUGUGCUGCAGCUCGAGCGGCUACCAAGUUCCCAAUCACCGAUAUCAGGCUAGUCGGGUUUGCCAUUACCGAUAGAAACCGUUUCUCCGUUGUGAACCAUUGUCCGUAUAUUUUAAUAUCAAGCAUUGCCAAGGGAACAAUAAAGGUCCAACAGAGAAUCAUAUAAAGAAGGCAGGUAUUCUGAAGGAGAAUCGGUGCAGAUUGAAGCAAGGCAAGCCAUGAAAUCCAAGGAGCAUACAGAUAGUUAACUCCGAUAUGGUGUGAGAACUCGGCCUUAACCAAAUCGAACUGAAAGUAACAUCGGAGAACAUAAACCAAAGUCAGUGAAAUCUGUGUUAAAGCAGCUAGACACCAUAGCAGCAAACAAGCCGUAGAUGGGAGCUUGCUGAAAACAUGCAGAACAUCUCGAGAAACACCAUUUGGUUGAGUCAGAAUCUUCCACAACAAAGCUUGACACCCAAGGGAAAGGCUUAUCCUAAAAUACCCAGCAUGGAUCUUCGUUAAUAUAUUGGAACAUGAUGGAGAUAGCGCCUCACCGUUGUUCUUCUCUGGUUGGUCAGUACUGCUAAUGGAAGCUUCUACUAUGAGCUGAGUUGGUGGUUUGCAUUCUAUUUCUUCCAUCAUUAGGUUAAGAAUUAUAGAUUAAAACUUUGGGUUUGUGUUUGUGUUUGGGUUUGGCCUUUACGAUAAGGCUACUUGCAUAUAUAUAGAUGAUCGAAACAAUCAAUAGAAAACUGCACCAACUGAUUCUUUGAAAAGGGUUCGUGGGAGAAAGGCGUGGACUUAUCACCAAGAAUAGAGUAAUGGAACCUUCUUUUUGACGUGACAAAAACCUAAUUACUCAAAAACAAAAAACUACUCAAGAUGGAAACAUAUAUUGCGUCUUCCGUGGCCAACAUAUAUAUUUGGUAUAUUUCAGAAAGAAAAAAAAAAAGAAGAAACGGUGAUGAAAUGGGUGGGACUUUCAUGCACCUAACCAAGAACCAGGCUUUAUUCAAGGCUCGAAUUAUUAUUUAAUAAUUAAAUUUAUUUAAUGUUAAAUGGAGAGUAAUUCGUGCCCUUGGAUAAAAAGCAAGAAAAAAAAAGCUUAGGUAAGAAAUAAUUUUUAUAAAAUUGAAUUGCCUCCUGACCCGAACCGUGGUUAGGCUUAGUGGGAAUGAUGUCACAUUUAUCUUUUGAGGGGUUGAUUAAAGAAGUUGAUGACAAAAUGUAAACUAUAUGAACCACGCAAAAGAAUUUUAGGAUACGUGAGGUAUAAAUUUUUCAGUUUUUAUUGGGUUGAAAUAGACCCCUAUCUUUUGCUUUUGGAUUUGUAGGAUGCAGGGAAAACAUCAAAUGCCAUAUUUAAGAACUGACCUGGGAAUAGUAUUCGCAUUGUCUUAGCCUAAUUUGUAGUAAAUGCAAUAUCUUUGAAUAGAUACUGAAGUUAAUGCAUGUAGUUGGAGAUGAGUCAUACGUGAGUGGGUUAAUAUUACUUAAUUAAGCUCAAGGAAUAGGAAAUGGAGAAUAUUUAUACAUAUACAUAUACAUAUACAUAUAUAUACACGUAAAUGAUAUAUAUAUAUGUAUGUAUAUAUAUCCAUGGUUGGUGUUUGCUAAUGAAAUUCCGCAAGAAAAGGAAUGGGGAAAAAGCAAUGGUGUUGAGGGACUGGCAAUUUGGCAUCCGACACGCCUAGGCGGCUGACAAGAUAAAAGAAGAUACCUUAUAAUAUGCACAUAAUAUAAUAUAAUAUUAUAUGUAUAUAUAAUGAUCCUCAAGGUUUUUGGUUGAGGCAUCCACUUUCAGUAGGCGUGAGUAGGUCAUUCUCUUUUUCGGAUUUAAUCUGUAAUAAAGAUCAAUAAUCGUCGGCUAUAAAAUCUAUUAUGUGAUCUUUCAGGGAUUGAGAGGCCGUAUAUUAACAGCCAAAUUAGGCUGCUUUAAUUGGAUAUUUACGGAAAGAUGGUGAUCAUAGCUUCCAUGGCUUUCCAUAUGAUAGGAGAUAUAUAUAAUAUUUCAUGGAGAUUUAUUCGUUGUGUUGCAAGUGUUGAUUUGCAGGCUUAGCUCUUGUGUUCUUGAUGCCUCAACAGUAAAAAGUUAAAAGUGAUGAUGAAACUUAGUAUGCCAAAAUUUUUUUUUACUAUUUAUUAAGUAGAUAUUACUCUCAAAUUAGUUCACCAACAAUAUUACAGAAAUAUAAUUAUAUAAUUAAAAUAAAUUAUAGUAUUUGAAGGUAUUUUAGUCGGUUAAUUUUCACAAAAACCAAUGAAAAUAUGUCUAUGAUCGAUUUAAUUCCACACCAAAAAGAUUAAUAAAAUUUUAAAUUAGCCAAUCAACCAAAUUUUCAUUUUAAUAUAUUUUUAUACAUUUUUUAUUUUAAUAUUCACAAUUUAUUAUCUCCAUCAUUUGUAUAUAUUAAUAAUUAAUAAUGUUGUUAAUUGAGUUAGUGUCACAAGUCAACUAGACAUUAACUCAUAAUUGAUGAUAACCUCAUGAUAAAUAAUUGUAGUGCAUUUAGUAUUGUUAAUAUGAUGUAUUUAUGUUGUUAAGUUCAUAUAUUAUUAUGAUAAUUAGUUUUAAACAAUACAUUUCAUUGUUUAUUGUAUGUUAUUUUUAAAUAUAUAUCUGUGUUUUAAAUUCAUGGUUUCCACACGUAUACGCGUGUGAUAGGAUUUCUAGUAUUAAUAAUGUAUUUGAUUGAAUUGGUGUCAUCAGUUAAACUAUUUUUCAUUUUAAUUUCUUACAUGUUCCAUAUGUGUUGAUGUUAUUAUUAGUGUCAAACCGUAUGUUUCAUUAUUUAUUUUAUGUUAUUUUUAAACAUACAUUUUUAUUCAAAAUUUGUGAUUUCUUCACGCAUACAUGAUAGUAUUUUUAGUAUUAACAAUGUAUUUAAUAGAGUUGGUAUUACAAGUUAAACUAAUUUUCAUUAUAUUGCAUAUGUGGUGUGGUGUUAUUAUUAUUAGUUUCAAUCCUUAUGUUUUAUUUUUUUGUAUGUUAUUUUUAGACACAAUUUUUUAUUCAAAAUUUACGGUUUCCACACACAUACACUGUGAUAGGAUUUCUAGUAUUAAUAAUAUUAUGAAUUGAGUUGUGCCAUAAGUAAACUCGACAUUAACUCACAAUUGAUGAAAAUACCAUGAUAAAUAAUUAUAGUGCAUUUAGUAUUGUUAAUAUGAUUUAUUUAUGUUGUUAAUUUCAUGUUAGUUUCAAACCAUAUGUUUCAUAGUUUAUUGUAUGUAAUUUUUAAACACAAAUUUGUGGUUUAAAUCCAUGUUUUCCACAUGCAUACUCGUGUGAUAGGAUUUUUAGUAUUAAUAAUGUAUUUGAUUGAGAUGAUGUCGCAAGUUAAUCUAUUUUUCAUUUUAAUUUCGUGCAUAUUGCAUAUGUGGUAUUGUUAUUAUUAUUAGUUUCAAAUCUUACGUCCCAUUAUUUAUUUUAUGUUAUUUUUAAACAUACAUUUUUAUUCAAAAUUUAUGGUUUCAACACGAAUAUGUGUAUGAUAGGAUUAUUAGUGUUAAUAAUGUAUUUGAUUGAGUUGGUGUCACAAGUUAAACUAUUUUUCAUUUUAAUUUCGUACGUAUUGCAUAUGUGUUGUUAUUAUUAUUAGUUUCAUACCUUAUGUUUCAUUAUUUAUUAUAUGUUAUUUUAAACACACAUUUUUAUUCAAAAUUUGUAGUUUCCACACACAUACGCGUGUGAUAGAAUUUCUAGUAUUAAUAAUGUUGUUAAUUAAGUUGGUGUCACAAGUCAACUCGACAUUAACUCACAAUUAAUGUUAAUGUCGAGAUAAAUAAUUGUAGUGCAUUUAGUAUUGUUAAUAUGAUGUAUUUAUGUUGUUAAUGUCAUGUGUUAUUAUGAUUAAUUAGUUUCAAACCAUAAAUUUCAUUGUUUAUUAUUUGUUAUUUUUAAACACAUAUCUGUAUUUUAAAUUCGUGAUUGUCACACUCAUACGUAUGUGAUAAGAUUUCUAGUAUAUGUAUAUGUUAAUGCAUUAUGUUAAAAAAUAUGAAACUGACCUUUAAAUACUAGGGAAGUGCCCACUUCCCCAGUACUAGAGCUAUUUAAUGAUAGUUUCCAUAUUUGAGUAUUGACAAUUUAUUGAACUAUUUGAAUGGGUUGUGCUUAUUAUUUGGAGUAUAUUUAGCCUAUCAAAGAAGGUCGUUUUACUUGGGAGACUCAUAUUGAAGAUUGGAUCGAACUAAAACACCCAAGUCAAUCCCUUGCAACAUGGGCAUUGGAUUGGAUUGAAACUCUAUAAUAUUAGUUGCCAAGAGUCCAUGAUUGGUUUAUUCUCUAUUUUAUAUUGUAACCAGUUUAUUGUAUUACUGUUUUAAUGAGAUUAUUAUAGAUAUUCAAUGUUAGCAAGUCUCGAGCAUAAAUCUAUUUAAAGGAUAGAGUUGUGUAGGUUAUUAUACCGAAAGUUUUUAGUACUUAUUUUGUUUAAGGUAAGGAACAUUUCUUUAAGUGCAAUUUAUUAGUAAAACCAUUUGUGUAAAUGUUUUACUUGUUGAGUUCACAAGGGUGAAGCUAGUGGUGAGUGUAUCUGUCUUCAAGGUUCCAAAGUAGGGAGAAUCAUCAUGAAGUGUGUGAGAGGUUAGGAUCACUUGCUGUAACUGUUAAAGGUAGUCUAUAUUUAUUACUGAGUUAGACUCCACAAACGUAGGGAAAUCGAACUUUGUAAAUAAUUUUUGUGUCUUCUUUGUGUUUUGCUUUCAAGUUUUGGUGCCAAAGAAGUGCCCACGUCUCUGUCACUCAUUACAAGCACUUAGAUUAUUUUGCAAGCAACAAUUUAAUAAUUUCAAUUGGUAUCAGAUUUUUCCAUUUAACGUAACUAGUGGAGGUCCUAAAGGUUUUUAGAAUCAAGUAAUGGAAGGCUCUUUACAUCUUGACCUUUUAUGAUGAAGUUGAAAACUAAGCUUACUAGAAAGCACAUAUGAAUGCAUAAAUUAAGCGUAUUGAUGAAAAUGCAUGGCAUGAUGUGUUGACAAGUCGGGAACCCUUUAAGAUGGACAGUGAAAGUGGGAGAGUAGUCAAGCCUGAAGCUUAGUGGACCAUUGAGAAAGAACAAUUGGCCAAUUCAAAUAAUAAAGCUUUAUAUGCUAGAUUUUAUGGAGUUGAUCUUCAAGAAUUCAAAAGAAUUGCCAAAUGCACUAUGAAAAAAUCAGUCUAGGAUAUAUUGGAGACUACUUAUGAAGGCACUACAACUGUCAAACAAUUAAAUAUGCAAAUGUUUACAUAUAGAUUUGAAAGUCUUAGAAUGCAAGAAUCAGAAAUAAUUGGUGAAUUCUAUGCUAAAUUGUGCGAUCUUUCAAAUCAAGCAUUCGUAUUGAGAGAAGAGUACUUCAAUACAAAGCUUGUUAGGAAAGUUUUAAGAUUUUUUCUUGAGUGGUUCUCGAUAAAGGUUAUUUUUAUUGAAGAGGCCAAGGGUCUGGAACGGCUAGUCAUUAAUGAACUUAUUAGCUAAUUAUAAACUUUUGAGAUGAAUCUUUACGAUGCAAAGCAAGGUAAGAAUAAAGAGGAUAAGAACCUACCUUUUCAAGCCACUGAGGCAAUGCCUACUUCCUCAAAUGUAACUAUUGAAGAUCUUUAAGAACGAAUUGCCCUACUAAUUAGAACUUCAAUAAGGCCUUCAAGAAAUAAGCUAGAAAGUUCAAAAAAUUUUAAGCUAGUUCAAAUGCUUCAAAAAAAUAAAACCAAGGGAAUUGUCAUCAAGAAAGAGCUAGAGAAGGAUAUAAAGAAAGGAGUAAAGUAUUAUGAGUGUCAGGGGUAAGACCACAUUCAAUCUGAGUGUGCUAACACCUUGAAGAAAAAGAAGAAGUUAUUAUGUUACAUGGAAUGAUGAUGACUUAUCUAGUGGGUUUAAUUCUAAAGUGGUGUAACACCCCUAACCCGUAUCUGUUGCUAGACUAGGGUUAAAGGCGUUACCGGAAAAAUCUAAAUAUCUCGCAUUCAUUUCUCAAUAAUCAUAGCAUCAUCAUCACAUAACAUUACACAGUCCCUUACAUAGGUCAACGAGACCUUAAACAUACUUUAGAAAGGGGUUGGGACUAAACUGAGCACAUACAAAAUUUUUCUUAAACUUAACAAAAUUUUCAGAGUUUCAUAGGUCACACGCCCAUGUGAACAGGCCGUGUGCUUCACAUGGCUUUAGACAUGCCCACGUGUCUAAAUCGUGGCAAAACAGGGCAUACAUACUGACUUUACCACAAGGCCACAAGACAAGCCCGUGUGCCUUAGCCGUGAUCAAAACUGACUUGGGUCAUAUGGCCAACCAUAUGCCCGUGUGUCUAGCCUAUGUACCCUUCGAAAUGGCCACACACUUCCAUGUACCAAGGCUGUGCACCACACACGGCCACUAGACACGCCUGUGUGUCUAGGCCGUGCUCAAAACUAACUUGAAUAACUAAAUUACACCAGACACACGGUCGAGACACACGCCAGUGUGCUCAACCAUGUGGGGUGAAAUUAGGCUUGGUUUAAGCCACAUUUCCCACCUAUCUCAAGCACACCAAAUCCACAACAUUUUUUUAUCACUAACAUACAUUUAUAGGCAACCAAAUCAACCAUUUCAAACAUAUUCCAUGCCAUUCAAAUACCAUCCAAUUCACUACUCAAUUUCUCAACCAAAACAUACCUAAUCAAUGUACCAAAAUCAUCACAACUUACAUAAGUUUCAAAUACAUAAACUUAUCAAUUUAUCAAAUACUUCAUACCACAAAACUUGCCAAUUCAACAUUCCAUAUUCAAACCAUUAUAUGAACAUUAUAUACAUCAUAUUACUUACCUAUCAAACACAUCAUUUAGGCCAACUUAAGAGGCCAUACCUAACAACAAUUCCAAGCCAAAACUCAUGGCUAAUAUUCACAUCACAAAACAUACCAAAAUGACACAAGCUUAUACAUGCCAUAUACCAUAUAUACAACUCUCGAAAUGGUACCAAAAUAGAUGUCUGAUAGUGUGAUUGAUGUCGCUGACGAUUCCUAAAUUUGAGCUAUCCUUAUAAAACUGUAAAACAGAGAACAUUUCACAAAGUAAGCUUUAAAGCUUAGUAAGUUCGUACCAUAAAUAAACAACAGUUUAUAUUAUACAAAACAUUCACUAAUAAACAAUUAGUAGUUCACAAUUCAUUCAUCAAUUCUAAUCUAUCUCAUAUAACAAGUUUAUACGAAUUCAUCAAGCUUCAUACACAUAGUAUCAUCUACCACAUAGGUAUCGAACAUACCUGAUCUUUCCUGUAACACCCCUAACCCGUAUCCGUCACUGGCUUAGGGUCACGACGUAUUACCAGUCAAAACACAAAUUUAAACGAACACAUACAUACACUUGCAAAAUUUUAUCUAUCUUUAUUAUUUUUAUUUUAAAAGAACACAAUCAUUUAUUAACUUCAUUAAUCGAUUUAAAUAUCAAUACCACAUAACAGAAUACACUUUUGAUUCAAAUUAUAAUACGUGCAUAUAUUCAGACUUCAUUACACUUUAGUUGCAUACUAAAAAUCAUACUCAAAUAAAACACCCAAAAUCUACUACAUAUAAUUAUUUAAUAAAAAUCAUAUUAUAUUUAUCUUUCAUUUACUAUCAAGUUGGACAUUUAUACAACACAUAAUAUACAUGCUAUUUUCAUAAUUUAUCAUUGAUCAAGUCAAUAUUCAUUUGAUCAUUCUUCCAUGCAUUUAGCCAAAAACAAGUUUGUUUUGAAAACAACUCACUUACAACUUAUCUCAAUCAUUUUACAAGUUUAUACACUUCAAAUGUUUAAAUUAUUAUACAUAAAAUAUAACAUAGUUUUUCCAACAUUUUAUACACUGCAACCUAAUACAUACAUACUAUAAUUAUCUAAUUUUUUAAUCACAUUUACCGAACCCUAAUAAUAUAAAUUAAUAAGUCCAAACAAUAUAUCCAACUUAUCACUACUUAUUCAGUACAUUACCUAACUAUCAUAAUCGAAUUUGAGCAUCUAAAACCCACUCAAAAACAUGCAUGUAAUCAUGAUUCAACUAAGUUGAAUGAAAAUACUUAUUAACUAAAGAAGAUUAUUUUUAUCAUUACAAGACAUUAACUACAUACAAAUAUAUCCAAAACAUAAACAUUACCUACCAUAUGUCAAACAUGACAAGUCAAAUUAUCAUAUGCAUAAGUAUUUGUAUAAGCAAUGCCGAAUCACAAAUUAAUCAUUAUCAUUUUAUUCCAUCUCACCUUAUAACCGAAUAUAUAUACCAUUUCAUUAUUGAAAUAGUUUUCCUACCAAUUCAUAUUUGUUUUACCUAUACCAAAACCUUGGCCGAAGCAAUUAAACAUGCUAUGCAAAUAUGUACACACAAUGUUCAUUACAUCAACCAUUUUCAAAACAUAUAACAUUUAACACAUAUACCAUGCAUAUCAUGGCAUGCAACAUUAUAACCAGAACAGAUUAAACCAUUACCAAAAUAUAACUAAAACCAAACUUAGGAAUUAAGCUAUUUUUGCAUGGCUUUAGAUUUACAUAGCCAACAUUCCACAUUUCUAAAGUAUGUUUCAGCCUAUACAUGUCAUAGUACCAAAAUGUAACUUAUUAAAUACUGGUGGCGGUCGAUAGUGUGAUAGACUUUGCUGACAAUCCCCGAGCUUGUAACUUGAAUCCAAAAUCUAUAAAACAGAGACAAAUAUUCACACAGUAAGCUAUUGUAGCUUAGUAAGUCAUAAGCAAAUUAACCAAUCAAAAGUGUAAUCAAAGCAUUUAUAACAAACCUAAUUAUAACAUUAUUAUUACACUUGGUCUUAAACAUAUCAUUUAAUUUAUUUAUAACUUAUACUUUCACACAAAUAAGUUACUUGGGCCGAAUUCUCAUAUAUCUUAUUUAGCAUAAUAUCAUUCGACUUUCAAAGUCAAAUGACAUUAUACCAAGUAUUCUUACAUUCAUAUACACAAACUCAUGAAUCAAAUCUCGACAUCAUAUAUAUGCACUUACAUAUAUAUAGCCGAACAUACUUUUCAUAUUUACUCACAUUCUUCACUUACAUCUUACAUGACUUGUAAUAAAUAUCAAGAAACUUACUUAACUUGUUUCAAUUAAGUAAUAAGCUAAAUUCAUACCUAGUCAUUUUAGCUCAUUUCACACAUCCGUACACGAAUUACCUUCGCCCGAUGAACCAUUCAGAAUUGGGUAGGACACUCAGAUAAUCACACAUUUAUCGUACAAUGCCAACGUCCCAGACGUGGUAUUACAUGUAACCACAUAUCGAUGCCACUGUCCCAGACAGGGUCUUACUCGCACACAUAUAUCGGAAUCCUAUGUCAUGACAUAUGUAUCCUAACUAUUCUUAAGGUUCAUACGGGAUUUUCGGAUGUCGUAACUCGGUCAAAACGAAUUCAGAAAUGUGGUAGCCAAGUUUGCUCAUAUUCGGCCAUAGCAUAUAUAAAUUCAAACAUUUCAUACCAGCAUAUAUAUUUAGCAUUUAACUACAAUUAAGUACGUCUAUUUACUUAUAAACUUACCUCGGACGAUGUAAAACAGAACAGAGCAGCUAGUCGAUAAUUUUCGUUUUCCUUUGAUCCAAAUCCGAUUUCUUUGGUUCUUGAUCUAAACAUAUUCAAAUUAAGCUCAUUCAAACAUAUUUUCAUUCAAUUUAGUCCAAAAACACAUAAAUGGGAAAAUUACCAUUUUACCCUUAACAUUUACAAUUUUUACAAUUUAGUCCCUAUUGCACAAAACACAAAACACACAAAAUUUCUCCAUAUCCAUGCUAGGCCGAAUAUUACCCAUAACCAUACAAACCCAUAUAAUUUAUUUAUUUCACAUUUUAGUCUUUUAAAUUAUUAUUUUUGCAAUUUAGUCCUAAUUACUCAAAAUCAUCAAAAACUCCAAUACAAAACAUGUUGAUCUAAAACAUAUCUUUCAUAAUUCAUCAUCAAAAAACAAAAAUCAAAAGCUCUCAACAAUGACACAACUCAAAAUAUUCAUCAAAAUAAAAAAUUCAGGCAUGGGUUUUGUAGUACUCGAAGCAACGAUCUCAAAAAUGUAAAAAUUAUCAAAAACCGAGCUAAACUCAUACCUUAAUCAGGCUUGAAUGUAACCGAACCCUAGCUUUUUUUCUUUUUCUUUCUUGUUGAAUUUUCUGCCAAAAGAAAAUAUAUGAACCAUCAUUUUUAAUUAUGUUAUUAUAUGAUAUAUUAUAACAUAUUAUUCCAUUUACAAUUUUAACCUUUUAAUUUUAAUAUAAAAUCAUUAUAAUCUAAGGUCAUUACCAUCCACCACUCAUAACUUUGGUCUAAUUUCAUUAUAAAUGCCUCCACUUAUAAAGACAACAACAAUUAAGCACUUUCACAUUUAACAACCAACUUUUCCAUUUACGUGAUUAAGUCCUUUUAUUUAAUUGGACACUCAAAUGAUAAAAUUAAAUCACGAAAAUUUCACAGAUAUUAAUUCACACAUAAUAAACACAAAAAAUAAUUUUUAAAUAUUUUUGACUCGGAUUCGUGGUCCCGAAAUCACCUUUUCGAUUAGGGUCUAAUCUGGCUGUUACAACUCUUCCCCUUAUGGAUUUUCGUCCCCAAAAAUCUUACCAGUGAAUAGGUUCGGAUAACGUUCUCUCAUUGCAUCCUCUGGCUCCCACGUUGCUUCUUCAACUCCAUGUUUAGGCCACAGUACUUUAACUAACGAAAUUUUCUUAUUUCGCAACUCUUUAAUCUCGCGAGCCAGAAUACGAAUCAGUUCUUCCUUGUACGUCAUUUCGGCUUUGAUCUCAACCCCAGCCAGACUAAUCACAUCUAAAGGAUCAGAUCGAUAUCUACAAAGCAUCAAAACAUGGAAUACAUUGUGAAUCUUUUCUAAUUCAGAUGGCAACAAUAGUCUGUAAACAACUAGCCCUAUACUCUCUUUAACCUUAUAUGACUCAAUAAACCUCGGAUUCAAUUUGCCUUUACGACCGAAUCUGAGUAUUUUCUUCCAAGGUGAAACCUUCAAGAAGACUUUAUCUCCGAUCUGAAACUCUAUAUCUUUACAUUUCAAGUCAGCUUAUGAUUUCUGACGAUCUGAUGCUGCUUUCAGACUUUUACGGAUCACUUUUACUUUCAGUUCAGUUUCUCUGAUCAAGUCGACCCCGUGUAUCUUAUUUUCACUGAGCUCAGUCCAGUACAAUGGUGUACGACAUUUACGACUAUACUAAGCGUCAUAAGGUGCCAUUUUGAUACUCGAUUGGAAGCUGUUAUUAUACGCAAACUCAAUCAGAGGUAGGUAGCGUUCCCACGUACCUUCGAACUCGAGAAUGCAACAUCUCAACAUAUCCUCAAGUAUCUGAAUGAUUCGCUCAGACUAACCAUCUAUUUAUGGGUGGAAAACAGUGCUAAAAUGUAAUUUUGUACCCAGUGCAUCUUGCAGUUUCUUCCAAAAUCGCGAUGUAAACCUCGGAUCUCUAUCCGAAACAAUAGAUAUAGGCACACCAUGUAAUCUUACAAUCUGAGAAACAUAUAAUUCAGCCAGCUUAUCAAGAGAGUAGUCUGUAUGUAUCAGAACAAAAUGAGCCGAUUUAGUUAAUCUAUCAACAAUAACCUAGAUUGCAUCUUUCUUGCUCGAUGUCAACGGUAAACCAGAUACAAAAUCCAUCGUGACUCUGUCCCACUUCCACUCAGGUAUCAUAAUCGGCUGAAGCAAUCCAAAAGGUAACUGAUGCUCGGCUUUUACUUGUUGAUAGACUAAACAUCUUACAACAAAGUCAGAAAUAUCUCGUUUCAUACCAUACCACCAAUAAAGUUGUUUCAGAUCAUUAUACAUCUUUGUAUUGCCUGGGUGAACAGAUGACCGACUGCUAUGAGAUUCAUUCAAAAUUAUUUGAAUCAAUCCUGAAUUUCUCAAAACACAUAUCCGGUUUCUGAAUCUCAAACAAUCAUCAGCAUCAACUCUGAAUUCUGAAUUAACAUCUAUCUCACACUGAGCUCGUUUUGCUAAUAAUUCAUUAUCAACCUUCUAGGCAUCACAUAUUUGUUGAACAAAUAACAGUCUUACUUUUAAUUAAGCUAUUAUCGAACCAUCAUCAGACAUGGCCAUAUGCGCAUUAUUGCAUGCAAAGCAAACAGUGAUUUUCGGCUUAAAGCAUUAACAACAACAUUAGCCUUUCUCGGGAGAUAGUCAAUCACAAGCUUGUAGUCUUUUAGUAAUUUUAACCAUCGACAUUGUCUCAAAUUCAGAUCUUUCGGAGUCAUCAAAUUUUUCAGACUUUUAUGAUUGGAAUAAACAUGACAUUUCUCACCGAACAGAUAACGACGCCAUAUCUUCAAUGCAAAUACAAUAACUGCCAAUUCUAAGUCAUGUGUUAGAUAGUCCUUUCAUGCGGCUUUAGCUAUCUCGCGGCAUAAGCUAUAACUUUGCCUUCCUGCAUCAAAACACAACCCAAACCAUUUAAAGAUGCAUCACUAUAGAUAACAAAUUCUUUACCCGAUUCUGGCUGAACUAGCACUGGAGCUUCGGUCAAAAGGGCUUUCAACUGAUCAAAGCUUUUCUAGCACUUCUCUAUCUGCUCGAACUUAACAUCUUUCUGCCAUAGCUUAGUCAUCGAGGUUGCAAUCAUAGAGAAACCUUUUACAAACCUUCUGUAAUAACUAGUAAGUCCCAGAAAACUUCGAACUUCAGAAACAUUCUUAGGAGGUUUCCAGUCAAGUAUACCUGAAAUUUUGCUCAGAUCAACCCGAAUACCCGAUGUUGAUACGACAUGGCCUAGAAAACUGACUUCACUUAACCAGAACUCACAUUUACUGAACUUGGCAUACAAUUGUUUGUCUCACAAAGUCUGUAACACAAGUCUCAAAUGUUUGGCAUGUUCAGCUUCAUCAGGAGAGUAGAUUAAAAUGUCAUCUAUAAACACAACCACAAACAGAUCUAGAUACGAUCUGAAGAUCUGAUUAUCAAAUCCAUGAAAACAGCAGGUACAUUAGUAAGUUCGAAAGGCAUAACUAAAAACUCAUAAUGUCCGUACCUCGUUCAAAAAGCAGUCUUUGGCACGUCGGAGUCUUUAACUCGCAACUGAUAGUAGCCUGAUCUCAAAUCUAUCUUUGAAAACACUGUAGCAACUUUCAGUUGAUCAAACAGAUCAUCAAUCCGUGGCAACAUAUACUUAUUCUUUAUAGUCACCUUAUUGAGCUAUCUAUAAUCAAUGCACAUUCUCGUAGUUUCAUCUUUCUUUUUCACAAACAGUACUUGUGCACCCCAAGGAGAGAAACUUGGCCGCACGGAACUUCUAUCUGUCAACUUUUGCAACCGAGCUUUCAAUUCUAUUAAUUAUAUAGGUGCCAUUCUAUACGGAGCUAUGGAUAUUGAGGUCAUCCCAGGUAUUAACUCAAUACCAAACUCUACCUCUCGAAUAGGUGGAAAACCCAGUAAUUCUUCAAGAAAGACAUCUAGAUACUCGCACACAGCAGGUACUGAUUCAAUGUUUCUUUCAGCCACUUUACUGUCAAGCACAUAUACAAAGUAAGCUUCAUAGCCUUUUCUUACAUAUUUCUAAGCUAACAUCGAAGAAAUCACUGCUGGUAACCCAUUCAUAUCAUUAGAUUCAAUCCAAAUAAUCUCAUCAUUCUGGCACCAUAAAUCAAUAGUCUUUCUCUUGCAGUUUACAACAACAUCAUGCAAAGUCAACCAUCCAUACCCAGAAUUAUGUCGAACUCAUCAAAUGGAAAAAGCAUCAAGUCAUCCGGAAAGCACGAAUCUCGAACCAUCAAGAGACAAUUUUUACACACUUUGUCAACCAUAACACACUGGCCCAAGGGGUUUGACAUUCUAAUCAUAAAGAGUAAAUGUACCAAUAAUGACAUCCGGGGAUGAAGCCUCCUCUCGUGCACGAAUAGCAUAGGCUCUAGCAGGUGCACGAGCCUCAGAUUUGACUGCUGUACCUUUAAUUCAUCUCUGACUGCUACUCGCAUUAUCCGCAUUUCUAGGUGGUCUACCUUAAGCUGCAGUAUUACCCAAUCUCGUGUUCUGCACUGGAUUUUUUUCAGCUAACCUUGGACAAUCUCGAAUAUAAUGAUCUGUCGAUCCGCAUUUAAAAUAAGCCCGAUCGUGCAAUCUGGAACUGUCGGGAUGUCAUUUACUGCAAUGCUUACACUCAGGUUGAUUAGAUUUGACAUUACCCACACUGGCUACUGAGGUAGCUCUCAAAAGCUCACAGGUGGUCUAUUCUGAUCUCGUUGAGAAUAACCCGAAGUGGCUUUUGAACGACUGAAAUCAUCUCGGAACUUAUUUGGUACCGACUGGAUUGACUUACUGAAUGAUCUCUUACGCGAGUCUCUAGCUUCAAAAUUAGCUUUUCUUUUCUCUUUCCCGAGCUUUUCAGCUUUGCAGGCUCACUGAACAAGUACGAAAAACUCUUUUAUCUCAAGUAUACCAAAUAACAGUUUAAUGUAUUCGUUCAACCUAGCUUCAAAUAUUUUACACAUUAUAGCUUCGAUAGAAACAUACUCUCGGGCAUACCGACUGAGUCUUGCAAAUUUUCACUCAUACUUUGUCACGGUCAUCCAACCUUGUUUCAGCUCUAGAAAUUCUUUUCGCUUCUGAUCAAUAAAUCUCUGGCUGAUAUAUUUCUUACGGAACUCAAUCUGAAAGAAUUCCCAGGUCACUCGCUCUCUUGGAACCACUGAUACUAGGGUAUUCCACCAGUGAUAUGUUGUGUCUCGAAGCAAAUAUAUGGCACACUUCAAACAUUCAUCUGGGGUACAGGACAGCUCAUCAAACACACGAAUAGUAUUAUCAAGCCAGAAUUCAGCCCGCUCAGUAUCAUCAUCAUCAGUAACUUUAAACUCUUCAGCCCAAUAUUUUCUGAUUUUAUCAACAUGUGGCUUAUAUAAUCUCAACGGAUCACUUACUUGAGGUACAUUAGGCAUCGAAGAUGGAUUAGUUGGGGGUGGACGUUGUUGUGCAGCCGAGUUAGUCCAGAUAUACUGAGUAAACCAAUCAUUCAUCAUUUGGUAAAAGGCUUGUCUAGCCUCUCCCUCCCGGUUACUCGAAAUCAGUCGAGAAUCAACCGGCGCUGUCCCUUGCGCUGGAGUAGGUGUUACACUCUCGACAUCAUCAGCUACAGCUUUGUCAGGAGCCAUUUACUUAAUGAAAACACAUUUUCAAAUGUCAGAAGUCAUCACACUAUCGCAGUAUAUAAUAUGGCAUGUAUAGCUAGACUCACACACGCUACGUUAGUCCUAGAACUGACUAAACCGUGGCUCUAAUACCAACAAAAUGUAAAACCCCUAACCCGUAUCUGUCGUCGGAUUAGGGUCAUGAGGUAUUACCAAUAAAAACACAAAUUUAAACGAACACAUGCAUACACUUGCAAAAUUUUAUUUAUCUUUAUUUUUUUAUUUUAAAAGAAUACAAUCAUUUCUUAACUUCAUUAAUCGAUUUAAAUAUCAAUACCACAUAACUGAAUACACUUUUGAUUCAACUUAUAAUACGUGCAUAUAUUCAGAUUUCAUUACACUUUAGUUGCAUACUAAAAAUCAUACUCAAAUAAAACACCCAAAAUCUACUACAUAUAAUUAUUUAAUAAAAAUCAUAUUAUAUUUAUCUUUCAUUUACUAUCAAGUUGGACAUUUAUACAACACAUGAUAUACAUGCUAUUUUCAUAAUUUAUCAUUGAUCAAGUCAAUAUUCAUUUGAUCAUUCUUCCAUGCAUUUAGUCGAAAAAAAGUUUGUUUUGAAAACAACUCACUUACAACUUAUCUCAAUCAUUUUACAAGUUUAUACACUUCAAAUGUUUAAAUUAUUAUACAUAAAAUAUAACAUAGUUUUUCCAAUAUUUUAUACACCGCAACCUAAUACAUACAUACUAUAAUUACCUAAUUUUUUAAUCACAUUUACCGAACCCUAAUAAUAUAAAUUAAUAAUUCCAAACAAUAUAUCCAACUUAUCACUACUUAUUCAGUACAUUACCUAACUAUCACAAUCGAAUUUGAGCAUCUAAAACCCACUCAAAAACAUGCAUGUAAUCAUGAUUCAACUAAGUUGAAUGAAAAUACUUAUUAACUAAAGAAGAUUAUUUUUAUCAUUACAAGACAUUAACUACAUACAAAUAUAUCCAAAACAUAAAUAUUACCUACCAUAUGUCAAACAUGACAAGUCAAAUUAUCAUAUGCAUAAGUAUUUGUAUAAGCAAUGCCGAAUCACAAAUUAAUCAUUAUCAUUUUAUUCCAUCCCACCUUAUAACCGAAUAUAUAUACCAUUUCAUUAUUGAAAUAGUUUUCCUACCAAUUCAUAUUUGUUUUACCUAUACCAAAACCUUGGCCGAAGCAAUUAAACAUGCUAUGCAAAUAUGUACACACAAUGUUCAUUACAUCAACCAUUUUCAAAACAUAUAACAUUUAACACAUAUACCAUGCAUAUCAUGGCAUGCAACAUUAUAGCUGGAACAGAUUAAACCAUAACCAAAACAUAACUAAAACCAAACUUAGGAAUUAAGCAUUUUCGCAUGGCUUUAGAUUUACAUAGCCAAUAUUCCACAUUUCUAAAGUAUGUUCCAGCCUAUACAUGCCAUAGUACCAAAAUGCAACUUAUUAAAUACCGAAGACAGUCAAUAGUGUGAUAGACUUUACUGACAAAUAUUCACACAAUAAGCUAUUAUAGCUUAGUAAGUCAUAAGCAAAUAAACCAAUCAAAGCAUUUAAAACAAACCAAAUUAUAACAUUAUUAUUAUACCUGGUCUCAAACAUAUCAUUUAAUUUAUUUAUAACUUAUACUUUCACACAAAUAAGUUACUUGGGCCGAAUUCUCAUAUAUCUUAUUUAGCAUAAUAUCAUUCAACUUUUAAAUUCAAAUGACAUUAUACCAAAUAUUCUUACAUUCAUAUACACAAACUCAUGAGUCGAAUCUUGACAUCAUAUAUAUGCACUUAUAUUUAUAUAUAUAUGUAGCUGAACAUACGUUUCAUAUUUACUCACAUUCUUCACUUACAUCUUACAUGACUUGUAAUAAAUAUCAAGAAACUUACUUAACUUGUUUCAAUUAAGCAAUAAGCUAAAUUCAUACCUAGUCGUUUUAGCUCAUUUCACACAUCUGUACACGAUUAACCUUGGCCCGAUAAACCAUUCAGAAUUGGGUAGGACACUCGGAUAAUCACACAUUUAUCGUACAGUGCCAACGUCUCAGUCGUGGUCUUACAUGUAACCACAUAUCGAUGCCACUGUCCCAGAUACUCGCACACAUAUAUCAGAGUCACAUAUCGAUGCCGUGGUCUUACUCGUACAGAUAUAUCGGAAUCCUAUGUAAGGUUCAUACGGGACUUUCGGACGUCGUAACUCGGUCGAAAUGAAAUUGAAAAUGUGGUAGCCAAGUUUGCUCAUAUUCGUCCAUAGCAUAUAUAAAUUCAAGCAUUUAACUACAAUUAAGUACGUCUAUUUGCUUAUAAUCUUACCUCGGACAAUGUAAAACAGAACAGGGCAGCUAGUCGACAAUUUUUGUUUUCCCUUGAUCCAAAUCCAAUUUCUUUGGUUCUUGAUAUAAACAUAUUCAAAUUAAGCUCAUUCAAACAUAUUUUCAUUCAAUUUAGUCCAAAAACACAUAAAUGAAAAAAUUAUCAUUUUACCCCUGACAUUUACAAUUUUUACAAUUUAGUUUCUAUUGCUCAAAACACAAAAUACACAAAAAUUCUCCAUACCCAAGCUAGGCCGAAUAUUAACCAUAACCAUACAAACCCAUAUAAUUCAUUUAUUUCAUAUUUUAGUCCCUCAAAUUAUUAUUUUUGCAAUUUAAUCCUAAUUACUCAAAAUCAUCAAAAACUCCAAUACAAAACAUGUUGAUCUAAAACAUAUCUUUCAUAAUUCAUCAUCAAACAACAAAAAUCACAAGCUCUCAACAAUGGCACAACUCAAAAUAUUCAUCAAAAUAAAAAAAUAAAGCAUGGGUUUUGUAGUACUCUGAUAAACAUGUUAAUUUGCAUAUUUUUGUGUUUAAUUUGGUUUAUUGUUGAAUUGAACCUUGCUAAUUAAGUGCUUUUUAUGGUUUAAUCUUUUUAGGGAUGCAAUUGGUCAAAAACGAGCAAAAAUGGGCUAAAUUGAAAGAUAAAUCAUUGAAUUAGGGCUAAAUCAAAAGGAUGGAGAAAGCCAAUGAUUUAUCAUAUAUUUUGACUUUGUAAAAAGCUAAAAAUAGGAAGAUAUUUUUAUUUUAUUUUAUUUUAUUAAUUUAGGUUAGGCUAUUUUUAGUAAACCCCAUGUAUAUAAAUAGAGGCUUUUAGUUCUUAGGAAAUCAUCUCUUGUUUUACAUUCCUAUUUCAAUUUGGAAUUGAAUUACUCUCUCUCUUGUAUUUCCUUCUUCAAUUUGGAAUUGGAAUAUCUUUUUUUUUCUCUUCAAUUUGACGUUACAUUCUGUAGCCUUUUCUCCAAUUUUUGCUUCUUUUCCAUAAUUGGGCCAAUUGCUCUCCAAGUCCUUUCCAUUCAUUUCUUCAUGAUAAUCAUCAAACUUCUUUGCAAGCUCACAAAGCAUGAACAAUUUCAUGCUUAGCUAAAUUCUAUCUUAGCUUUAGUUCGGUGUUCAUUUUGGUCGAUAAUUGUGAGAUUGGUACUCGCACCUAAAAUCCUUUCAAUCAGUAUUCACCUUUUUCCUAAGCAUCGGGGUUGACAACUCAUCCUUUAAGGAUAAUUCGAUUUCAAGUCAAAAAAAGCUCGUUGGGUUGGAGUCGUGUUUUUUGACAGUUGGAGAAAUGAAUUGGCUGUGCUGUAUUUGGAUCUCCGAGAACAAAUCAAGGAAGAGGUGAUCGGGUUUAAACGACCCACGCGGUUGAGGCCGUUAAUUCGAGUUGGGUUCUUCAGAACGCAAGGCUACUGAAAUCUUGAAUCGGGAACAUGUGUAUCUCGGUUAGACUGUCGGUAAGGGUUAGUUUGCAGGACGUACCGGGACCAGCUACGAGAGGAAGAAUUAAUGGUUAGGACGUUCUUAAUCAUUAUAACCAGCUUAUUGUUUGAAGGAGAAGAUCAAUUUUCAAGGAUCGAUUCUCAACACAGGAUUUACCGAGUCUAAGGCUAAGGCUUAUUACAUUUGAUUGCAAAUCCCAAUUAAAUUUCUGAUUUAUUUAAUUAUUUAUCUUAGCAGUUAUUUCUGAUUUAUUUAAUUAUUUAUCUUAGCAGUUUUAAUUAUUUAGUUUCUAAUAAAUUUCAAAAUCCCCGCUUUAUUUAUUUGCUUAUUUUGCAGCUAGUACGUUUUGAGUUGUGGGCACGACUCUAGCCACGACCCUUGACACGACAUUCUGUUUAUAAGUUAAACGCGAAAGUUGAUUAGAGUACCAAUCCCUGUGGACUCGACCCUACUACCACUCUUACUACUAUUGUAUUUAGUAGGAAUUAUUUUUUGGUGGAUUCGACGCCCAUCAUACUCGAAGCAACAGUCUCAAAAACGUAAAAAUUAUCAAAAACCGAGCUAAACUCAUACCUUAAUCAAGCUUGAAUGUAACUGAAACCCUAGAUUUUUUUUCUUUUUCUUUCUUGCUGAAGUUUCAGCCAAAAGAAAAUAUAUGAACCAUGGUUUUUAAUUAUGUUAUUAUAUGAUAUAUUAUAACAUAUUAUUCCAUUUACAAUUUUAACCUUUUAAUUUUAAUAUAAAAUCAUUAUAAUCUAAGGUCAUUACCUUCCACCACUCAUAAAUUUGGUCUAAUUGCAUUAUAAAUGCCUCCACUUAUAAAGACAACAAUAAUUAAGCACUUUCAUAUUUAACCACCAACUUUUCCUUUUAUGCGAUUAAGUCCUUUUAUUUAAUUGGACACUCAAACAAUAAAAUUAAAUCAUGAAAAUUUCACAGAUAUUAAUUCACACAUAAUGAAAAUAGAAAAUAAUUUUUAAAUAUUUUUCUGAAUCGAAUUCGUGGUCCCGAAACCACUAUUUCAAUUAGGGUCUAAAUCGGGCUGUUACAUUUCCCGUAUAAUUUCACUUCAUUCUCACCUAUUGUUCAAAUACAUUAGUUCAUUCAGAAGUUUUUCCAUGCUUAAAGAAUUUGCACACUUAGUGCAUCCAUGAUUUGCCAAAACUGUAACAAUCCCGCACAGUUAGUGCCAUUUCAAUAAACUGAAGCUAUCUUGGUAUCGCACACUUAGUGCCACAUAUAGCCGAAGCUAUUCCAACACGCACACUUAGUGUCAUUUGUAGCCAAAGUUAUUUCGAGUCGCACACUUAGUGCCGAACAUAAUCGAUUAUCAUCAUGCUCAAACCAUAAUCAAAUAGCUAUACAAUUUAUGCAUUAUCAAAGUAUUAAAACAUAACUAUAACAUCAUUUAUCACGUACGAACUUACCUCGUACUCGAAAUUGACAAUUCGGAUCGUUUACUCGUCAAUCUUCGAUUUUCCCCAAUCUAAAUCUGAAUUCCUCUUUUCUUGAUCUAUAUGUAUUCAAAAUUAACUCUUUUAAUCACCAACACAUUCAAUUCAAUCCAUAUAUACAUAUUUAGGGCAUUUUACAAAUUAGCCCUCACAUUUUCACAUUUUAAAACUUUAAUCCCUAAUUCAUAAAAUCACAAAUUACUCAAAAUUUCCUUAUACACUUGCCUAGCUAAAUUUUACCUUAGUUCAUAUAAGCCCACAGAUUUCAUUUAUUUCACAUUUUUGUCCUUAAUAUGCAUUUUUACUGAAAAUCACUUUACAAAACAUGUAUAUCAAGUACUAAGCUUUCAUAUUUCAUCAUUUAACAUAACAAAACUCAUGAAUUCAUCAAUGGAAUCUCAUCAAAUUAUCAAUAAUUUCAUGAAUUUAAGCAUGGGCUAGUUAGAACACUUAACAAUGAUCACAAAAACGUAAAAAUUAUCAAAAAUCGAGCUCGAAUGCUUACCUAAUUGAACUUAAAUAUGGCCGAACCCUAGUUGAGCUUUAACCUUUCGUUUUCUUUGAUAUUUUCAACAAGAAUAAGAUGAACACAUUUAUCUUUUACUUUAUUUUAUUUUAAUUAUAACUUAAUACAUAAGUUACAAAAUUAACCUUAGCUAUUUCAUUAAAAUUCCACUAACAAUUGUCCAUACUUGUCCAUUCAUUAAACCAAUGGUCCAUUUGCAUCAUAAGGACCUUUAAUUUAAAGAGACAUAGCAAUUAAACACUUUAACAAUUAAUUAGUCACUUUUACAUUUUAUGUGAUUAAGUCCUUUUUGCAAAUUAAGCGCACAAAUGAUAAAAUCUUCAUACAAAACUUUCACACAUGCUAAUUCACAUAUUAUAAACAUAAAAAAUAAUAUUAAAAUAAUUUUCCAACCUCAAAUUUAUGGUCCUAAAACCACUAUUCCGAGUAAGGUCUAAACCAGGCUGUUACAAGUGGAUCAUCAAAAUUUUAUUGCCCUCACUACCAAUGUAAAAGAUGAUUUUAAAAAGGAACUUGAUACGGGGAGUGACGAGGAUUUUCUAAAGACUUACAAAGACAUGUUGGGAAAAUAGAGCAUGGUGUGUGAGGCCAACACACAAUUGUUUCAAGAAAUCAAGCUAGUGAAAGAUGAGAAUGCCAGAUUAAUCAAAUAGAUUACAACUAAAAAAGCUCUUCUUGCAGAAGAACUUGAAAAUUUCGUGAAAGUCAAGAAGGAACUGGUUGGAACUAAAUUGAUGCUUGAAAAGUUUGCAAGAAGCAACAGUAAGCUUAAUGAUAUGUUAGGAGCUAGUAAAAAAGAUAGAGGUAGAGGGGGCUUAGGAUUUGUAGAUCAAGGGAAAGUUGUAGAGGAACAAGUUAUUGUGUCCAUUAAGUCUUCAAAAGAAAAUAGAGAAAGUUCAAAGAUUGUAAUUGUCAAGCUUAUAAAAAUUAUUAGACAUCCUCAUAUGGUAAGUUUCCAUUAUUGCGGCGCUCCUAGUCACAUAAGGUCAUGUUGUUUCAAAAUGCUUCAUGAUCUGAUAUGGAAGAAUUUAGUGCCUAGGGUACUGCCCACUUUCUGUGGCACUACAACUAGAAAAGUGUAGAAACAAAAUUGGGUAAAGAAAGAAGUCAAAUGUUUGCUAGUUGCUUAUCGAUAUUUAAAGUAUACUAUAGAUGGGAUUUGGUAUUUUGAUAAUGGUUGUUCUCAACAAAUCUAGUGAUAGCCAACUUUGUGACCAAGGUAUGUUGGUUAAAUUUACUAAAAAUAAAUGCAUUGUCAUGAAUAAAAUUGAUGAAUUGAUCAUGGAAGGAGGUUGAACCUUUGAUAAUUGUUAUAAAACCAUGACUAAAAUAGGCUGCAAUAGUGCUAGAACAUCAUGUUUAGAGCUAUGGCAUGAUAAGCUUGGUCACAUCCAUUUUGAGGGAAUAAAUGUAACACCCCUUACCCAUAUCCGUCAUUGGAACAGGGUACGAGGCAUUAUUGGAGCUUAUCGAAUCAUUAUUAAUUAGGAGAAAAAGUAAAACAAAGUAAACAUGUAAUAUUUAAUAAAUUCAUAUAACAUUGUAAUUAACUUACCGCUUCUCUAUAUUCAAUAUAAUUAUGCAAAGCAUAAUUAUUCGAAUUGAUCAUGAGCCCUAAAAUUUAUUCUUAUCACAUUGUUAGUCAUAUAAUUCAUAUAAAUAUCAAGAAACAUGUAUGGGCUUAACUUUCAUUAAAUUUCUCAUAUGCAUAUACUUUUACACAUAAUUUAUUCACAUGAUUUAUAAUAAUCAUAUCUAUGUAUUUUAAAUAAGCUUUCAUAACAAUUUGUCUUGAUUUCAGACCAUCUCACAUUGGAGCUUUACUCAUCAAAUCAUUUGAAAUACUAUUUUUAUACAAAUAGUACACUUGAGUUGCACAAUUCUAUAAUUAUGAACGAACACAAUUAUAAAAUAUAUUCCAUGUUCAUAUAUCAUAGUCUCAUGUCUCCAUAUAUCAAAUAUAUAACCAUCAUUUUCUUGUGUUUCAGAUAAAUACAUAUAACCAUACAUAAGCAUGCCAUUCACUAUUUCUUUCUGUCUAUGUAACACCCCAAACCCGGCCCAGACGUUACGACUGAAUCCGGCGUGUCACAUUGAAGUGUUUUUCGAAAACCAUGUUUUCAUUGAAAACCCUUCUUGAUGUUUAGAAACUUUUACCGUUUAAACUUGAAUAAAACCUUAGCCUUAUUUUUUUUCCCAAAAUGUGAUUCAUUGUAAUAAUCAAAGCAUUGUUAACAACCUUGUAAAAUCUUAUGGGAAACUUUGAAAACUUGUAAACCUUUGUAGUGGCAGAAACAUGUUAUUUUAAAAAAACAGUUAAGUAUCGAAAAAAAUCAAACCUUCUUUGUCAUGGCUUAAAGUGAAUGGAUACUACGUACCAGGUAGGAUUCAAGAAAGGAGGAGGUGAGUCAAUUAGACUGCUUAAGUACCUAGCUCUUCCAUGAUCCAAUCCUAGACAUGCACACAUCCAUUGCCACACUUUAAGCCUAUUACUUAUCCACGAACAAUAAAUUAAGUUUAAGUCUAUUUAAAAUAUUUAUUUCCUUUGAAAACAUUUACGUUGCGGAAGCUUUGCUCGGACCCCAUGCAACAGAUAUACAUGUCAUGACAUACAACAAACAUAAUCAGAAUAUCAUGCAUUUCAGUCAAAAUUAACCCCAGGGGUAUGACGGUCAUUUUGCACCUAGGGGUAAAAUGAUAAUUUUCCUACUUAAGGGUAUUCUAGUAAUUUAAAUAUUUUAGGGUUUACAUACAUAUUCUAACCAUUAACACAUUAACAGAAGCACUUACCGGCGUUUUUACCGAAUUGGGGCCGUUGACCCACUAACCCGUUUUCGGCCCAUUAAGCCCAAAUAUACCGAAGUGCACGAAAUUGCACACUCUACAAUCAUACUGCUUGCAAUUACCAAAAUUAACAACCAAACCACCUCGCAAGCGCUCGCACGCUCGCAAGUUCACAAAUGCCGGCUUUUCGGCUUUUGCCGAUCUAGUCUAUGAGUGGGUGUCGUUUACACACCUGUUUGUGACGAAACGCUGACGAGUUCCACACACGAACUGCCUACAAUCAAUUACUAAUACGUUAACUAUGAAUCCAUAGCAACUUAUCUGCAAAACUCCUUACUAAAAAUUGACCAUUAACACUUUAGGCACUAGUGUUCUUACCUUUGCCGAAAAAAUGGACUAGAUCUAACUCUGGUCGUUCCAAAUAUCCAAGCCCUCGAUUAGUAGCCUUUAAUCCACACUAUAGGAAAACAAAUCAGAUGUCACCACUAAACCCUUUAAGUACAACCAACAGGCACCCUUUGCAUAUAGGGGUUUUUUGGCUUUUACCUUAAUUCAUGAAUAACAAAAGAAAGAUUCGAGCGUUUACCUAUAUCGUUAUGACACUACUCCCAAUCGAUUGUAGAUCCAACUACCGCACAAGAAGGGAAAAUACUCAACCAAGGGUUCGGCCUUUGCAGUACCUCAAAGUAGUAAUAUUUCGAUUUUGGAAGAAAAGAUACGAGGUUUGGCUUCAAUGGAAAUUCGGCUAACCAGUUUUUUUUUUUGAGGAUUUAUGAGAGAAAAGAAGAAGAAGAAUAUGAAGGCUUUAGGUUCAGCAAAAAGAUAGGAUGAGAAUCGACAAGAGGAGAAAGAAGAGAGAAAAGGGGAAGAGAUGAGAGAAGGAUAGAAAAGAAUAGAAAAUAGAAGAAGGAAAAAAAAUAAAUCCUAAAGGCCUAAAAUAUUCGGCAUUCUUUAGCUAUGGCCGAAUGAGUGCAUUUCGGCAUAGAAAUUCUUUUUUAAAUUCCAAUUCCCUAAUUUGCUCCUUGAUUUUUGGCCAAAUUUGAAGUUUGAAUUUCAUUCAAACUCCCCAACCGAUCAGCAGCCUUAUCCACCUGCUUGCACCGCUUCUGCAUGCUGCCAAGAGUCCUGGUCAGACCCCAAUUCCUCCCCACGCAUGCAGCAAAAAUCCAAACCUUGCGUGCACGAACUGCAGCUCCAACCCCAGACCUCCGUCCGCCUUACGCCCACACCUGUGCUACUGGCCACUGUACCAUGCUUUCUUCCUUGCUAGUGUAUGGUCACAAUUAAUUAUAAACCUUACCUGCUUCAGUUCUGACCCACUUUAAAAAAUUAAAUAAAAUUUGCCUGCAUACAAACUCGAACCUGCGCCCUCUCUAUAUGCCCAGAACGCUACAACCACUGAGCCACAGGCGCUUCUUGUGACAUAGCUCGGUCGCAAUUAUUCUUAAACCUUACUUUAGUGCGAUCUGGCUUAUUAAAAUAAAAACAAGCCUUUGCGUGUGCCAACCCUCGAACCUAGGCACUAUACCACACUCCCAGCGCCUCUGCCACUGGGCCAAGCUUCCCUUUUGUGUUACCUUUUAACCCCAAUUGUAUAUAACACUUCCCUGCGUCGUUCCCUGAUAUAAAGAAAAAAUAAAACUCUUUUGCACAUGUUGGGAGUCAAACCCCAACUCUCCUUCCCACUACCUAGCAUGCUUAGCCACUAGGCCAAAUGCUCUUUUAUGCUAAAACUCAGCCCAAAUUAUUAAUAAAGCCUACUACCCAGAUUCCCUUAAGAGGCAAAAUUUAAAAUUUUGCUAAAGUUAUGGGCUAAGCCCCGGACUUUGUCCAAUACUAUAAGCCCUUCAUAUUUUAUUUAAAAACUAAAAUAAUAAUAAUAACCAUAAUAAUGAAAAUUUCAAAUACGAUAAUAUAUAUAUAUUUUCUAAUAAUAAUAAUUUUAUCUCUUAAUACUAAUUAAAAUUUCAUAAAAAUUUAAAAUAUUCGUAAUAAUAAAUAUAGUAAAAAUUUUCUAGUAGUAAUUUAAUUCAAAAUUUUUUUCUUAAACGAUAAUAUUUAAAACUUAUUAAUUAUUUAAGUUUUCUUUUAUCCGAAUCCCAGACUCAAAGCCCAACUCUUCUAGGCCCAAUUUUUUUGGGACGUUACAGUCUAUCACAAUUUCAAAUAACAGAUUCAUGUGAAUGAGCCCAACAAUAACCAUGAAAAUACUUACCACAUUCUUUCACACAUAUUCCACUUAUAACAUUUUUUUUUAUAUAUUUGGCUUGACAUUUACUAAGCAAUAUUGGAUAUUCAUUUAUUAGGCAAUAUCAAAUAUUCAAAUUAUUCUUUAACAUAUAUAACAUUUAAUUCAAACAUGAAUUUAUAACAUUUUUUAUUUUAACAAAGUUUAACAUUUACCAAAUAUAAUCGAACAUGUGAUCAAUUGCAUAAGUUACUUACAUAUUUUCCUCCUCCUCCUCUCCAUUCCACAUAUAUAACACACUUGUAAGUAACAUUAUCUAUAAUUUUUACUAUUUAUUUAUAUGAAUAUUCACGCUGUCCAUUUAUGUGAUAGUCACUAAAUUAUUUUUAUCUUGAGCUAUAGAACUCCAAAUUAAGAUAUGCUAAUUUUUCCUGAAACUAGACUCACAUAUCUUCUAAUCAUAAAAUUUUCAGAAUUUUUGGUUUAACCAAUUAGUACAUUUUAUUCUUUAAAUUCACCAUUAUUCUACUGUUUGACAAUUCCGACCAUUCUUCACUAAAAAUUAAUUAUCUCCUCGUAUGGGAUUUGAAUAAUGUUCUUGUUUAUUUCUCUUGAAAAUAUACUCAUUCAAGAUUCUAAAAAUAUAAAUUUAAUCCCCUAAUUAUUUUCAAUUUUUUAUUAUUUUCCAAAGUCAAAAUAGGGGAACCCAAAAUCAUUCUGACCUUGUCUCAUAAAAUUUAUUAUAUCUCAUGAUUUACAAUUCCAUUGCUUUCAUAGUUUUUCUAUAAGAAACUAGACUCAAUAAGAUUUAAUUUCAUAUUUUAUUUAUCAAAUAAUUCGAUUUAAAUUUUUUUUUGUGAUUUUUCAAAGUUAGACUACUGCUGCUGUCUAAAACAGUUUUAAUACAAAAUGUUGAUUUUCAUUUUACCCCAAAUUUCACAGUUCAUACAAUUCAGUCUUUGCUCAAUUAAUCCCUCAAUUGAGCUAAUUUUUCUCAAUUAAUACUUUAGUCUAUCAUUUUAAACUACUUCAUAACCCCUAAAAAUCAGAACUUUAGCACUAGACCUUAAUUACAAACUCUUUCAUAAUUAGGUCCUAAAAUCAAUUUCCAUCAAUUUUACUUGAUAAAAUCAUCAUACAUCAAAAUUAAAGCUUCAAUUCUAUAUUUAUUUAUCAUAUUAUUCCAGCACUCAUCCAUAGAAACUUUAAAAAUUAGCCAUGGAAUCAAAAACUAAUGACAUAGUAAGUUGGACCCAAUUGUAAAAGUCCAAAAUCUUAGAAAUUUCAAGGAGAAAGCAAGAAUUAAACUUACAUGAAGCUAGAGUAUGAAAACCAGCUUGAACCCUCUUCCAUGAAGAGAAUUCUAGAUAUUCCAUUCUAGUCCUUUUUUUAUUUAGUAAAUUUUGUUAUUUUCCCAUUUUGCCCUUAUUUCCUCAAUUUUCCUGAUUUUUCUCUGCUUGUGCCGCCCAAAGUAUCUCCUUUAGGCUUAUUUGCACUUUGGGUCCUUGCUCAUUUGACAAUUGAGCUAUUUAAUCCUUCUAGCAACUUUUACACCUUUUUCAAUUUACUCCUUUUUAUUUAAUUAAUCACCCAAACGUCAAAAUUUUCUAACGAAAUUUUAAUACUACCUUAUUGACACUCCGUAAAUAUUUAUAAAAAUAUUUAUGGCUUGGUUUAUAACACUAUUUUUUUUCUUAAUUUCUUGACCAAAUAAAUCUUUAUAAAACACAAUUUACUAUUUCAAAAAUCUUUUAAAAGCUACAUUUGGCUCAUAAAUAUUAAAUAAUAUAAUUUACGAGUUUAUUUUUUAGAUUUGGUGGUCUCAAACCACUAUUUCCGACAUCGUUGAAAUUUGGGCUAUUACAACUCUUCCCCCUUUUAGAAUUUUCAUCCUCGAAAAUUCCUUCGGUGGAGAGGUUCAAAUAUUUUUCACUAACUAAUAGUAUCACCAAUUUUCAAAGUUGAAACAUUAACUGCCACUUUUAACUCAUAUAUCAGGUAAUUUUUUUUCAUACGAUUUUUAAUUGUUUUAAAGUGUAGACUAUUACUUUGUCUUACUGCAUUAAAACACAGUUUACCCACUCAAUGAUAUAUCACUGUAAAUCACAACUUUCUUACCCUAUUUAGGCUGAACCAAAACUAAUGCUUCGAUCAACAGAGCUUUUAUCUGGUCAAAAUUUUGCUAACAUUUAUUAAACCAUUCAAAUCUUACAUCUUUCUGUAAUAACUGUAUCAUCAGUAUAGCUAUCAAUUAUUAACACUGAAGCUUUAAAUUUUCCGAAGUUGUAACCAUCAUACCAAUUGAAACCAUAGUACCAUAAUAAGGUCAGCGUCUCAACCUUAGAAAUAAAAUAAUACUUCAAUAUCAAUAGUACUUCCCAAACAGAAAAGAAAAGACUAAAAAUAGUCCCAAUAACAACCAAUGCAAUAACAUGAUAUCCACAAUCUAUGAUUCAUAUUACUAAACUUCCAUAUUCGAAUCAGGAGUUAUAACAGUAAAUGUAAUGGUCUCCGACUAAUAAAUAUCUUUCUCAAAUAUAUAUAUUUUAUUAUAUUUACAAUUCAGAGCUUCAAUCAAUAGAAGAAGAAAACAGCAUCAUAUGAAUCUUUUUAUCAAAUCUUCCCUCAAGUAUAAUUUAUUAGAAAACCAGAGAAAAGAUAAGCAGUACCGCUCAUAUUUUAAUCAGACUUUCAACAAUUCCAUUUAACAUCAUGAUUAGCCAACCUUUCUAUAAAAUAGUAAUCACAUUUGAAAAUGAACAAUUACACAGAUUUAUAUAUAUAUACAAAUCAUGUAGAAUACCCAGAAAAGAUCGUUGUAAGAUAUAUAAUUAUAACAGUUGCAGUCAGAUAUCUUUUCCAUUUUACCACUGUGCAACCGACUACUAAAAUCAUUGAUAAUUUUACAUUAUACAACUCACUAAAAGAACUAAUUUAGAAGAAAUUUCCAGUAAAUUCUUUUUGUAGAUACCAUACCUGAAUAAAUCGAUUACUCAUGAAUAACUUCUUUCUUAACAGUAACAUUGCGUAUUUUGAAUAAUCCUCAGAAAAAUUGUCUGAUAUCUCAGUCAUAAUCAUUUUUACUUACUAGUCCAUUCUCUAUCCUUUCAUUUCACAAUUUAUUUUUAAUUCAAUCUUUUAAACACAAACCAAAGAUAAUACUUUACCUUGUAACGAAAAUUGUUUACCUUUUUAACAGAGGCCUACUAGACUAAACAGAACACUUAGAAUAUACAGAACUGAUAUAGAGGCGCAUUAUUAUGCACUAUUAAAUAGAGAGCACUAAAGUGUUAUACAGAUAGCACAGAUGUGCUAAACGGAGAGCACAAAUGUGCUAAUAAUAAAAAAGCGCGCUAGAGUUCCUUAAUGGCAUGCCACUAAUAUUCUAGUAGAUCUAAAUUUCGUCUACUUGAGCAUUAAAAUUGAAUUUCAUACAUUUAAAUACUUUACAAUUUAAUCAUUGUACCAAUAAUCCGUAUGUUUAUAUAUUCUCUAUCUUUAAUACAUGUAAUAUAUUUCAAAAUUCACUAGUCUCGUAAUUUACUAAUAAUUCUUAUCAUGUACUUCAUAUAUCACUAUCCAAUUCCAAUUUCACUUUCAAUUCAUUCGCAACUCAAUUUAAUUUCACUUUCUUAUCAAUAUACAAUUCAAUACUAAUAUUUAUCCAUCACUCAGUUCAAUUUCCAUUCAAUUCAACAAUAACACUUACCUCAUACUUCACUUACCAUGCCCAUAAUUUAAAUUUAACAUUUAAUAAUAAAUAAUUUGAAUUAUAGUAAUACAAUCGUAUGCUGGGUAUGUCUAUACUCAGUGGUAUUACCAUAAUUCAAAUUAUAAAAACUAUAAUAAAUAAUAGACAUCAAACAUGUAAAAUUAUAAGUCAUAUGUGCUAAUUUAUAUUUAAAUUCAUAUCUCAACAAUAGUCUUCCAUCAAAGGGCAUCACAUAUCAUCUAUAUUAUCUUUAAUCAAUUCAUGAACCUUUGGUUUAAGCCUUCAAUCUCAUAUCUCAAUUUCAAUUCAAUUUCAAUUCAUAAUUCCACUUUUUCAUACUUUCAAUAGUUCAAUCGAUCAAAUUCAUUCGAUUUUCUCAUUUCAUUUAUUCAACCCUAUUAACAUAACUCGGAGUUAGACGGAUACACGGAUCCAACCAAAGACACCAGUACGGCACAUUGUACCUAAAACGGUACAUAGUACCUGAUCAGUAUACGACACAUAAGUGUCUGAAACGACACAUAAGUGUCUGAAACGACACAUAAAGUGCCUAAUAUACAACACAUAAAGUGCUUGAUCGACAAAGCCGAUAUAUCCCGUACUCUUCCAAAUCCUAUGGCAUGCCAAUUAUAUCCGACUAGCCCGACAAGUUAAUAAGGAAUUCAAUUCUCAUUUCAAUUUCACUUAAUAUUCAUAUUUACCCCUAUUAACAAGACUCGGACUUAGGCGGAUACACAGAUCCAACCAACACACCAGUACGACACUCAGUGCCUCAUCGGCUUUGCCGAAGUAAAACAGUAAUAGUACGGUACUCAGUACCUCAUCGGAUUAAACCGAAGUAACAGUAGCAAUACGACACACAUGGUGCCUCAUCGGCUCGAAGUCGAAGUUAAUAAUCAAAUAUAAUUCCUUAUUUCAAUCAAUUUCACUAUAUUGCAGUAAUUCAUUACUUCAGUAAUUUCACAGUUCAAUGCAGUAUACAUAAUAAUAUUCAGUAACUUCACAAUUCAAUUUAGUACUCAAAACAAUAUUCAGUAUUCUAUAAUUCAGUUCAGUAUCAGUCUCAUUUCAGUGCCCAAUCAUAAAUUUAUCAUUUUACUAAACACUUACCUUAAAAUACUUACCACACAUAAUUAGUAAAUUAAACACAUAAUAAUGAUAAAGUUUGAUAUGAGGCAUUUUGAGGCAUUUCCAAACUUACAGGAACCAUUUGUUGGAAAAAAUCUAGCUCAAAAAAGGGUUUUCUUACACAAUGGAAAAAUAAAAAUUUGAAUAUCGAGCUGAUUUAUGAUAUUAAUAGUAACAAACUUUUUUCCGAAAUUACACCUGUGUUUUGGGCUAGACCGAUCCUAGACGUUCCUGGCUUUCAACCGAAUGACCUUUGCUGCUAUUCUUGUACCACGAACUGCUUUGAGUGUAGGCUCGAAUACUUUCGAAUCAAACACAUAUCCAAAAAUUAUUUUCUUUACUUUCAGUGGGAAAGUAAAACUAUCUCUAUUAUAGAAAUUGGUAUUAAUUAUUAUUGCCAAAAAAUAUAAUUUAUACUUAAAACUAAAUUCUCUCUAUUUUUAGGCAAAAUAACAAUAUCUCAAAGUUAUGUAAAACUUAUUAUGUUUUUAUAGGGAGAGGAAGUGAAACACUAGUUGAAUUAGUAGAAUACAUUUAAUGCCUAUUUAAUAGAAAAAUAAUCCUCUAGUUGAAAUAAGAGAGAGAGGGGCGACAACCUUAGUUAAAAUACUAGGGUUUGUCGUCCCUUUGUAUUCAAUAUGAUGGGCUUUGAGUCUUUCCUGUAUUGAGUCUAGUUAUAAGUGCUUCUUGGAAAUUUAACCCAAACUUUAUAAUUCAAUCCAACCCAAUAUAUUAUUUUCUAUUUCCCAAAAUAAAUAUUAUGAAUUAAUUUUAAUUAAUUAAUUUUCUAAUUAAAUAAUUUUCUCAACCCGAUUUUGAUUCCGUUAAAAUCAUGACAACUUAACCUUAAAAGAAUCUAUGAGAAAAUAUAUUUAAUAUUUCUACAUUUAACGGAUUCAAAAUGACCAAUUAAUCUAAUUUCAUUUUCGAACUUAAAAUAUUUAAUUAGUUAUGAAUCAAUUGAAAAAUCAUAAAUUAAUUCUCAGGUCAUUCCCAUACUUAGUGAGAAAACCUGAUUCAUUUCUAAAUGUUACCCAUUUCUCUAACUUUAUCAUUUCUAUCUAUUUCUGUUCAUUUGAUUUAACAUGCAAUUCAUUUUUGGUUUCAAGAAGCUAACGGAGGGACCAAUUGGACAUAUGUGAUUAGGGCUCAAAUGAUUUAAAAUUAAGUUCUAGCUUUUUGCAUAUUAAUUAUAAACUUAUUUAGUCACGAAGUUAUUCCACAAUGGUAUCAUGACUGAGCUCUUCCUAAUUACAUACCAUUACAAAAUCUACUCGAUUGGUUCUCGUCCAAUGACCUUGUCAUAAGUGUGUUACCCUCAUAGGAUAUCCAUAAUCUCUUUAGGAUAAAUAUGUUCUCUCAAUAUGAUCUUAUUUUAUCUCAUGAUAACUAUUACAUCUUCCUUCAUGAAAUGUCAAUUACUACUAUAUAGUAAUUAAGUCGUUUAUCACAAAGACAAAGGACUCAUGACCAUGUUUACUUUUCAUCUAUCAUGUAAUGCCAAUGAGAGGAUAUCAUUUACCCAUGUUUUAGGCUAUAAAUUCCACUAUUUUGAAUUGUGCUACAUAUUGCAGAAGUCGCAUACCCAACGUACUGGCUUUAGGUUCCUUAUCUAUUUUAACUUAGGCUUUUACUUACACCAAAGUAUAUGAGUCACACAUAGAUAGUCCAUAAUUCACUUAGGAUUUAAGUAUGCCACACUAUGAGCAUCACAAAUGAAUAAAUCCAUAAACUAAUUCAGGAUCUAUUCUACUAGCGUCCAUUCUGGUAUAUUGUUAGUUCAAUUAGUCACAUCUAUGUCACUAUCGACUAUAAUUCAUCUGUCGAUGCCCAAGACAAAGUAUCCCCCCAAUUGGACUUGAUAGAUGACAUAUUAGCCUUUCAAUCAUUUUUCUCAUUUUCGAUUAGACUAAGGACAUGUUUAAUUUUGUUUACUAAUAUAAGUUGUUUUUCUGUAUUACGACUUGACCACGUAAUACCGUUUAGUAUUAGUUAAACACUAGACAACCAGUGAGCUAAUAUUUGCUUUUAUGUUGCUUUACAUGUAAAAAUCAAAUGAGGACAUCAUACAAAGGAUACUAAUGUAAUUCAUGAAUAAUUUUAUUAACCAAUUUGUUCAAAAAAUUAUAAGUGUACAAAAUGAAUAUACUACAAAUAGGGCACUAGAUCUAACAACAUUUCUAAAGUUUGCAAUAGCUGUGUGAAGGGUAAAAAAACAUCACAAAAAACAUAAAAAAUUUACCCACAUUCAUAACAAAGCCUCACUUGUAAUUUUGCACAUUGAUCUAUUUGGUUUUGUUUAAAUAGGAAGCCUUGGAAGAAAAAGAUAUGCCAUUGUGUGUGUUGAUGGCUACUUUAGUUUCACAUUUUGAUGAAUUUAAAUCAUUGUGUAAGGGGCUUAUGAAUGAAAAGAAGGAAAAACCAUUGGGUUAAUAAGGAUAAUACGUAGUGAUCAUGGACGAAAGUUUGAAAAUGAAGAGUUUAGGCAGUUUUAUUAUGAAGAAGUGAGUUUUCAGCUCCCAAAACUUCUCAGCAAAAUGUAGUAGAACACAAUAAAAAAACUGUACAGGAAAUAACAAGAGCGAUGCUCAACAGUAAAAACAUUUCACAUCGAGGUUGAGGCUGUUAACACAACUAAAUAUGUAAUCAACAGGGUUAUGAUCCAGCCUAGACUCAAACAACGCUAUAUGAAUUGUGGAAAGGAAAUAAGCCUACAAUGUAGAACUUUCAUGUCAUUAGAAACACGUAUUACAUCUUGAGAGAUAGCGAACACCAAGAUAAGUUUGAUUCUAAAUCUUAUGAAAGCAUCUUUAUUGAGUAUGUAGUGAGCAAUAAAGCCUAUAGGGUGUUCAACAAGUGAACUAAAAAUGUUAUGGAGUUAAUAAUAUGAUGGUAGAUGAUGCUGAAGUUUUUGAUAUCCAUGGUGAUUAUGAUGAGAACACAACUUCCAAUCUAGUGCUUGAGACAAUACCCAUUCCCCUUGGCACUACCAAGACUGGUGAAAACAUAGAAGUGGAAAAUCAAGAAAGUGGUGCUAGUGAUGAAACCAAUGAGCAAUCUAAUGAUGAUAAACCCAUAAGACUUUGAUAGGGUAAGGAAUGUUUUCAUGGAUAAGCAAUACCGAUUUUGUGUUAAUUCCCACCUAUAUGACUUCCUAGGAUCGUCAAGCCUAGGGUUUAAAUUCUUCCUUCCCCAUCCACUGAUCUACUAAGUGAUGCUUCGUAGGCAAUACCGAUUUCGGGUUCAUACCUACCAAGAUGACUUCCUAGGGUCGUCAAUCCUAGGGUUUAAUUGCACUCAACUAGAUUCAACCAAUCCUAAUUGAACUUUACAUGUUAAUUAAUUAAUUAGAUUAAAUAGUUGAAACAUGUUAAAUAUGUAUAAAACAUGAAUUGAUUCUAAUCUUUACACAAACAUUCAAUUAACAAUGUUAAAGAAAGAGAUGUAAAGAAUAGAAUAAAGAAAAGAGAUGUUCAUCAAUUUAUCGAUGAAAGCUUGAAUUUGGAACAAUCUCCACUCACGAGAGUUUUACUUCGAAAUAGGAUCUUUUGAUUACAAGAACAUAAAAUAAACUAAGUAAAAACUAAGAACGAAAUAAAAACCAAAGAAUGAUUUCUAUUUCCUUAAAAAUUACCUGUUUAAUUUGGUUACAAUGGCCUUUAUAUAGGUUAAACUUGGAAUAUUAAAGUGCUUAAACUGUCCUUGAAGUUUUUAGUGUUCGAUUAGGACAAAUACUCCUAAUUUCCCCUAAAAAAUGUAGUUGUUACGUGUAAGGUCUCUUUGGGUCACGUAGAAGUGGUGUUGCAACACAGGCUUGCUGUGUUGCAACAUUGGGUCCGAUGUCAUAAUAUUGAAGAGUGGUGUCAUGAAACUGAAGGCCAUUUCACUCCAGGACUUGUUUUUUCUUCUAUCUUUGAUGUUGUGACAUCAAUGUCUUGGUGUUGCGACAUAGACAUCAGUUUUAGCCCGAAUAUGUAUCUUUAGCUCCCAGUUUGUCCUAUAAGACCAUGUAACCUAUUUAGAUAUAUAAAAUGUAAUAAAAAGUACUAAAAAGAAUAAACUACUACUUUAAGCAUGAAAACAUAAAUAUAUACUAAGAUGCUUUGAUUUAACUAUUAAACAAGCUAAAGUUAUGUGUAAAAAGGGUGUAAAUAAUAGUAUAAGUCUUGACAGAUCAUAAGGCAGUUAUUGCUAAUCAGACUAGCAAGUCACGUCAUGAAUGAGACAAAAGUCCAUGUGAUUUUGACCUAUGGCAUCUUAUGAUAUGGAAACACUCAUGGCGUAGCCUUCAGUAAAUUAACGACUGAAUUGACCGAUCGUGAUACACGAUAUGUGUAAGUCCAUGAGGCUAGGUCUAAUGGCAUAAAGAAUAUGAAAUGAAAUGAUACAAAUAAUUCAUGGCGUAGCCUUCGAUAUAUAUAAGAAAUGAAGUGGUAGAUCAUGAUACAUGAAUGUAUAUGUAAGACCAUGAGGUUAUGACCCAUGGCAGUUAUGAAAGGAUUACAUGAAAAGACCACAAGUACAUGGCUUUAUAUGAAUUCACUAAGGUGUGCUUCAUAUGAAGUCGUGAUGGCAUCUUCUAUGAAGUCCGCCAAGAGAGUAGAAUUGAGAUUAUGUAUGAAGCUUGUAUGGCAUGCUUUGGUUAGCUUGUAUAGUGUAAUCUUUCAUGAAUGUCUGGUGAGAUUUACAUGACUGAAUUUCUAGUAAGAUAUGAAUAAGUCAGUUAGUUUUGUAAUAAGUAUAGUUGAGGUAAAGUAUUACUGUGCUUAAGAACAUUAGUUGAGUAAGAUUUGUGAAUUUAAUCGAAUAAGUUAUUGAAGAACCAUGUAUCUACAUGAUGGUAAAAGUAUUCACCAUGAUGAUCCGGAAAAGGUCAGAUAUAUAUUUGUAACUAUGUAAGAUUUAAGGAUCUAUAAUUGAAGGGCGUCUAUAUUAUGAUGAAUGUUGAAUAAGAGUUACUUGGAAUCUGUCAAAUCAUGAUUGUCUAGGAUUUAAUGACCUCUCCUAAAAUCACAAGAAAAUUUGGAAUAUGAAUGUUUUGAAUAUAUGUUUUCUUAAAGAUAUGGAUAUGGAGUUCAUCUGAAUGGUCUAAUAGUCUUUUGCCAAUAUCAAUAUGUUUCGUAUAUAAUCAAAGUUUUUCUAAGAGUAAAUUGGAAGGCAUUUAGUUCAACGAAAGCAUUCGCCAAAUACAUAUGUAUUUGCCCAAGAUAAUUUUUAGAGAAUUGUUUGAAAUAAGGGUAUGGCUUAAGGCAUGGGUGGUUGGAAGUGGUUUAUGAGGAAAUAUUUUGUUAAGAAAUUAUUAUUACUAUUAUUAUUGUAACUAAAAUUUAUGAAAGGUUUGAAAAGAUUUCUUAGUUAGCUAGGCAAGGAAGAUUUGGUAGGGUAAGAUCAUGAUAACUGGUGUAUCAGAGAAUGAUGUGACUGUGGUGGUAUCCAACAGAAUAAAUGAUGCUAAAUAAUGGUUGGCACACAAUAGUUCAUACAGGGUUUCUAGGUAUCCAUCAAUGUAUUGUUAGGAUCUAUAUUCUGGAGAUCAUGAAAAGCAUAUAAAAUAUUGAAGAAGUAAGUAUGUAUGUUAUAUAAGAAAUUAAAUGAGUACAAAUUGCAUGAUGAAUUGCAUAUAGGUUUUUUUUAUGUUGAAGUGCAUAUACAUAUAUGUGUCUGGCAUUUGUAGAAUGAGUUAUAGGGUCAUCUGAUUGGUGAUAAAAAAUGUCUGGUAUGGAUCGUGUCCGUGUAUAAGGGUCUAGGUUGUAGGUUUGUAUCUAAUCACUAUGAUGGUAAAUGAUGAAGUCUCUCGGGACAAAAAAAAAA